GAGCAGGAGCACGAGCAGUGCUCGCCCGGGAAAUCUUGUUAUUCGAACCAGAGGCCGUUGCUAGCCGGCAGCACUAGCCAAAGCUCGAGCAGUGAGAGGGAGCUAAGCUAACCAUGUGCAGCCAUGGCCAUGCGCCGACGUGCGUCACCUGCCCGCCCCCGUCGCAGGGGCAGCUCAUCACGGUGCUCAGCAUCGACGGCGGCGGCAUCCGCGGCCUCAUCCCCUCCACCAUCCUCGCCUGCCUCGAGUCCAAGCUCCAGGUACGUCGUCCCUCUGCGCCUCCAUUGUAGUGUUCUCAUUGAAGGCCGUCUUCGUCUUCGUCUUCGUCUUCGUCAUCCUAUAUUGGUUGAUUGAUUGUGAUGUGUGUUGUGUUUGACUUGACAGGAGCUGGACGGGCCGGACGCGCGCAUCGCGGACUACUUCGACGUGAUCGCCGGGACGAGCACCGGCGCGCUGGUCGCGUCCAUGCUGGCGGCCCCCGGCGAGAACAAGCGGCCGCUCUUCCAGGCCAAGGACAUCAACAAGUUUUACCUCGACAACGGGCCCAAGAUAUUCCCACAGAGGAGGUACGUACGCACGCACUCACUCACUCACUCACUCACUCACUCACGCACGUCUUCUUCUCUUCUACUUCCGGCGAACCCUGUCGUCGGCGGCGAUGUCGAUGUUGAUGUCGGCGUUGCUUCACGUGCAGCUGGGGAUUCCUGACCCCAAUCGGGAACCUGUUCGGCGCCGUGAACGGUCCCAAGUACGACGGCAAGUUCCUGCACGACAAGAUCAAGAGCCUCACCCACGACGUCACCAUCGCCCAGACCGUCACCAACAUCAUCGUCCCCACCUUCGACAUCAAGUUCCUGCAACCCGUCAUCUUCAACACGUACGAGGCCAGGGUGGACCCGCUCAAGAACGCGCACCUCUCCGACAUCUGCAUCAGCACCUCCGCCGCGCCCACCUACUUCCCCGCGCACUACUUCACCACCCACGACCCCGCCGGGAACCUCUCCGACCGCGAGUACCACCUCAUCGACGGCGGCGUGGCCGCCAACAACCCCACCAUGGCCGCCAUGUCCAUGAUCACCAAGGAGGUGCUGCGCCGCAACCCCGACUUCACGCACGGCAAGCCCGCCGAUUACAACAACUACCUCAUCAUCUCCAUCGGCACCGGGUCCGCCAAGCAGGCCGAGAAGUACACCGCGCCCGAGUGCGCCAAGUGGGGCGUCCUCCGCUGGCUCUACGACGGCGGCUUCACCCCGCUCAUCGACGUCUUCUCCCAUGCUAGCGCCGACAUGGUCGACAUCCACGCCGCCGUCCUAUUUGAGGCCCUCCGCAUUGAGGAGAACUACCUGCGCAUCCAGGACGACUCGCUCACGGGGCAAACGUCCUCGGUGGAUAUCGCCACCAAAGAGAACAUGGAGGCGCUUAUUGGGAUCGGUAAGAAUCUGCUCACCAAGACCGUAUCCCGGGUAAACAUUGACAAUGGGAUGUAUGAGACCGUCGACGGUGCUGGCACCAAUGAAGAGGCGCUCGUCCGCUUCGCCAAGAGGCUCUCCGAGGAGCGCAAGCUGCGCCAAACCAACCUCAACUCCAAGUAGAGAAGAGAAGAGAGACGAAGAAGCACUACCUACAAUGCUUAGGGAUGCAACCAGAUGCGUAAAGGAUUCGUUACUUUAAUAAUUAUGAUUUAUGAUUGUUUUAGUUAUGCUUUCGCGGAUAAACGGAAAUAAAAAUGUAUGUUUUUUUCAUGGUAAUAAAGAUGUAUGUUGUCCACUUGCAUCCAAGCUAUGCUAAUUUAGACUUGUACUUUCUUUGAUUCAAAAUAAACUCCACGGUUUUGAACUACUAGGAUUGAAUGUGGGCGACUAAUUAUUAUUUUUGAAAUAAAAACAUGAGUUGUGGCUAGUACCGCCUCUAAAUUCUUUUUUUAAAACUAUCGAGACAAAUGAACGGUGCAGAUUAAAACUUAAAACACUGGUGGAAAAAGGGCCUUUGGUCGCGGUUCGCAACUGCCAUUAGUCGCGGUUGCGCAACCGCGACCAAAUAAGCGCGACUAAAGGCCCCCCCCCCCUUUAGUCGCGGUUGCUUAAGAACCGCAACUAAAGGCCCGUCCACGUGGGCGCCAGGCGGCCGUCGGGGCAGAGGACCUUUAGUCGCGGUUCUUCUGCCCAACCGCGACUAAAGGCCCCCCCUAAACCUGUUUUCUGUUUAAUUUGUAUUGUUUUAUUUCUUUUGUGCUUUAUUUUAAUUUUGAAGGAGUUUCACAUAUUCUACGGUACUACAUACAUGCAUAUGAAUGUACAAUUUCAAACAAAUUUGAAAUUAGAACCAAAAAGAAUUCAAGAGGAAUAUACAAUAUAUAUUCAAUAUCAUCGGAUGACCAUAUACAAUUUUGAACAAGUUUCCAUACAUAAUUUAAUGCAUAUGAAGUUCUACGUCCUCGUAAUGGUGUUCUCCUUUACGAUGGAGGACUUCCCUCCUGAACCAUCCAGCUAGUUCCUCUUGAAGUGGUCGGAAGCGAGCUUCUGGACUAAGCAUCACCCGGAGGUUAUUCCGCUGAGCAUUGGUAUCACUCGGAACCCGCUCAGAGGUGUAUCUCCGGAUCAUCUCACAGACAUAGUAUCCACAUAGAUUGGUCCCCGUUGGCUGAAUAUCCCCACCAUUCUUAGCCUUUGACCUUUUGAAUUCUAGCUCUUUUUUGAAUUCACCGACCUUUGUAUCUACGAACCGUCUCCAAACCCUACGAGGCAAAGAAAAUUAAAUGAACAAGAGAGUUAUUAGUUACUUGAUAUUAGGAAAUGAACGAAAUAGGCCGAUCGAUAUAGAGCGCAAAUGAAUGAAAAUAAUUACUUCUGCAGCAUUCUUCUCAUGCCGCCCCAAAGCUUUGGAUCCAUAUUCAGAGAGUCGUGGACGAGACAUUCUGAGGUGUCAACUUUAAUUACUAGCAGAAUCCAGUGGAACCUGCGGACACGAUACAUGCACAGUACGUCAUGCAUAACUCAUCGAUUAGCCGGCCACAUAUCAUGCAUGGAGUAAACAAAAGAGAAUGUGCUCAAGACAGAAACACUCACCCAAAAUGGUAAGGAAAUAGAAUAUCACUUUUGAGUUCCUGCUUUGUAAGAAACUGCCACAGGUCUGCCUCCAUGUCGGCGGGGUGAUGCUCCAACACAUAUCCAUUAACGAUGUGUGGGUCAAUGAACCCAACAUCAUGGAUGUUCCUUACUCUGCAUUCCUUAAUCUUCAUUCUGCAUGUAUAAUAGCGGACACAACAAUAUAGUUACGACAUAUAUAUAGUGCAGGCAAUAUGAACGAGAUGGGGUAUAAAUAAAUCACUUACAGAACGUAGCAACUGAUGAUAGAUUUGUCGAGCUCGCGCAGAUUGAAAAGCUGGAACAAUUCACUCAGAUGAAUUUGUACAUAGUAAUGUUUGAAGUGAUGCUCAUAUCUAACUUCCGCAUAAAUAUAAUCUUUGGCGUUUUUAUUUUUUAUGUAACCCUUGUACCAUUUCACCAGACCUUUCAUUUGUGGAGAUAGAUCCUCUUCCUGCGCAGGCUCGACGAGAGGCCCAUUCUUCACAUAUGUAAUUACUACCUCCUUCACUGGCGCCUCAUCAAGGCCUAACAUUUCACGAAGAGUAAUACCUAAGUUGGCCGCUUGUUCUCUGGCACUCGUUACAGUCAAUCCAUGUGCUGCCGCAGCUGCUAUGAUAUCGGGGUCAUCCGGACCGGCGGCUUUCACUAUAAGCGGGGCAAUCGAUUGUUUACUUUGUUCCCCGAGCUGGGCAACUCGUUUCCCGCUUUUUUUACUUUCUAACUCCGUUUUCUCGGCCUCCUCCAAGGCUUUGUUCUCCUGGUUCUCCGCCCGCUCUUUCUUCUCCUUCAACAUGAGUGCCUGCCUACGAAGUUCACGUGCAUAGUCGUCAGGCAGAUUCUUCGCGGCUUGGGACGGUGUGCUCAAAAAUGACUUAGCCCACUUCUUUUGCUCAUCAGAAAAUACUGGCUUGGGCUCGGGCUCUCUUUUCUUCUUGCAGUCCGCCUUCCAUUUCUCAUGAUCAGCAGCCGCCCUCGCGGCAGUUUCCUCGGCACUACGUUCCCAAGGCCUUGUGGGGAGAGGCUUCAGUGAUGGCUCCGGUACCUUUGUGGUCUUAGGUACAUAAGGGUCCGGGUUAAUAAUCCAUGACUGCUUCUGCUUCUUUGCCGGAGGUGGAUUGGGGGGUGGCGUCUGAUCACCCGCCGGACGAGGACUGGGGGGCGGCGUCUGAUCACCCGCCGGACGUUGUGGACUGGGGGGCGUCGGCUGACGUGACGGAGGUGUAGGUGAACCGUCACCACCACCACCACCGCCACCGCCACCACCACCACCGUAGGGGGGUGGACUUGUUGUCCUUGGCGCCUCGCCUGGAAACUUGAUAAACUUCUUUUGCCAUAGAAUGAAAUGGCGCUUGACAUCUCCAAGUCUUUUCUCCCCUUCAGGUGUAGCAAUGUCAAUCUCCAGGUCCUCAAACCCUUGGACUAUGUCCUCCACCGUGACACGAGCAUAGCCAUCUUGAAUGGGGUUGUUGUGGUGGAGUGCUCCAGGUAAACAUGGUAAAGCACUGCCGAUGGCUACCUUCAUGGACAUGUUCCCGAUAGGAUAAUACAGAUGACAUUCUUUCAUCUCCUUUAUAUCGUCCACGGGGUAGCGAGGAGGCUCCGGUGCAGUAAUUUCGACCACCAGAGGCUCCGGUGCAGUAAUUUCGAUCGUCGGUGCAUCUGCACCAGCUGGUGGGGCCUCCGUGGAAGCCACGCUGCUUCUCCGCUGCUGGCUUCCGAGAUCCGCUGGAUGAUCUUCAUGCUGCGCCCGAACAUCUCUUUCGGCUAAUAGUACACUCAUGGUUUUCUUCAUCACAUCCAUUUCCGAUGCCAACCGCGCCACAACAUCUGCUUCCCGAUCCAUCUUUCUCUUACGGCUUCUGUAACCGUACGGGUCAUCGUUCUGGGGGAACCCUAUUUUCCACGGAAUGUUCCCCAUGCCUCGUACACGUCCUCCGUGUUCAGGAUUCCCGAGGGCUUUUGUCAGCGCGUCGUUCUCUCUGUUGAACUUGAUCUUCCCCUCUUGAGCAUCCCUCAUUGCGUCAAUAAGGGCUUGGGUGGGUUUAAUUAAUUUGCCCCGGUAAACACACUCCCCUGUCUCCGGGUUCAGCGUUCCCCCAUGCCCGUACCACCAGCUUUUGGCCCUUUGGUCCCAUCCCUCCGUACCUGGACGGAUUCCUCGCGCCCUCAGCUCGUUCUCCAUCUUCUCCAACCUAGGCACCCAAAUGCGAUACCCUCCUGGCCCCAUAAUAUGAUUGUACUCCUUCUUAGCCGCAUUUUCCUUAUUUCUUUUCGAUAUUUGAAUGAACUGCUCCGAUUUCUUUUGCUUCACAAAUUCUGGCCAAUCAUGUUUCAGUUUCUCAUAUUGUCCUUUGAAAUCCGGAGUCUUGUUCUGCUUGACAAAGUCAUGGGCUAGAUUUUGCAUUGAGGAAUGCACAUAGCUUCACAAUGGCUACUCGAACAUUUUGCGGCAGGAGCCCCCUCAAAGCAAUCGGAAGCAAUUGCGUCAUAAUCACGUGGCAGUCGUGAGACUUCAGGUUUUGGAACUUUUUCUCCGCCAUGUUUAUUAUUCCCUUUAUAUUGGACGAGAAUCCAGACGGGACCUUCAUACUGCUCAGGCAUUCAAAAAAGAUGACCUUCUCUUCUUUGGUCAGAGCGUAGCUGGCACGACCUUGAAACCAUUCCGGAUGCCGGUCAUCAGGGUCUUUCAAACGUUGCUGGUCCUGCCGUGCUUCCUUUGUAUCAUUUGUCUUCCCAUACACGCCCAAGAAGCUUAGGAGGUUCACGCAAAUAUUCUUCGUAACGUGCAUCACGUCGAUUGCAGAGCGGACUUCUAGGACUUUCCAAUAUUCUAGCUCCCAGAAUAUAGAUUUCUUCUUCCACAUGGCUGCGUGCCCGUCAGCUCCCUUCGGAACUGAUUGUCCGCCAGGACCCUUUCCAAAGAUGACUUUCAAAUCCUUGACCAUAUCAAAUAACUCAGCACCAGUGCGUUCCGCAGGCUUCGGCCGGUGAUCUGCCUUGCCGUUGUAAUGCUUGCCUUUCUUUCUUACUGGAUGAAUUUUCGGAAGAAAUCGACGAUGCCCAAGGUACACGUUCUUCUUACAAUUUGGCAAAUGUACACUUUCAGUCUCAUGUAAGCAGUGCGUGCAUGCAUUGUAUCCCUUAUUUGACAGUCCCGAAAGGUUACUAAGAGCAGGCCAAUCGUUGAUGGUUACGAAAAGCAACGCUCGUAGGUCAAAUUCCUCUUCUUUGUGCUCAUCCCACACACGGACACCAGGUCUGCCCCACAGCUGUAAAAGUUCAUCAACUAAUGGCCUUAGGUACACAUCGAUGUCGUUGCCGGGUUGCUUCGGACCUUGGAUGAGCACUGGCAUCAUAAUGAACUUCCGCUUCAUGCACAACCAAGGAGGAAGGUUGUAGAUGCAUAGAGUCACGGGCCAGGUGCUAUGGCUGGAGCUCUGCUCGCCAAAAGGAUUCAUGCCAUCUGUACUUAGACCAAAUCUUAUGUUCCUUGCGUCAGCUGCAAAAUCUUUGAACUCUCUGUCGAUCUUUCUCCAUUGCGUUCCAUCUGCGGUGUGUCUCAACUCCCCGUCCGACUUACGGUCCUCUUUGUGCCAUCGCAACAACUUGGCAUGCUCUUUGUUCCUGAACAAACGUUUCAACCGUGGUAUUAUAGGAGCAUACCACAUCACCUUGGCGGGAACCCUCUUCCUGGGUUUCUCGCCCUCAACAUCGUCACCAGGGUCAUCGCCUCUGAUCUUAUAACGCAAUGCAGUGCAUACCGGGCAUUCAUUCAAAUUCUCGUAUUCACUGCGGUAGAGGAUGCAGUCGUUGAUGCAUGCAUGUAUCUUCAGAACCUCUAAACCUAGAGGGCAUACAACCUUCUUUGCUUCGUACGUACUGGCGGGCAACUCGUUAUUCUUUGGAAACAUAUUCUUCAACAUUUUCAGCAAGUUUUCAAAUGCCGAGUCAGCUACACCUGCCUGUGCCUUCCAUUUCAGCAAAUCCAGUGUGCAGCCCAGCUUUUUCAGACCAUCAUCGCAUCCGGGGUACAACGACUUUCUGUGAUCCUCUAACAUGCGAUCCAAAUUCUCCCUCUCCUUUUCAGUUUCGCAGCGUCUCCGUGCAUCAGCAAUGGUCCGACCAAGAUCAUCAACGGUCUCAUCACGUGCCUCUUCUUCACCUUCACCUUCCCCUUCACCUUCCCCUUCACCUUCAGCAUCCUCCAUGAAAGUAUCACCGAAAUGAGCAAGAUAGCUUUCAUCCAUGAAAUCAUCCCCUUCUUCAUCUUCUUCCAUUAUAACCCCUCUUUCUCCAUGCUUGGUCCAACAAUUAUAGCUUGGCAUGAAACCGUGCCGAAGCAGGUGCAGGUGAACUUCUCUUGAGGAAGAGUAACCCUUCUGAUUCUUACAGUCAACACAUGGACAAAUAACAAAACCCUUCUGCUUGUUCGCAUUAGCCACUACGAGGAAAUCUUUCAAACCCGUAGUGAAUUCGCGGGAGAGUCGGUUACCGUACAUCCAUUGCCGAUUCAUCUGCAUUAUUAUAAUAUAAAAUAUAUAAUUAACCAUCAUGCAUUUGUUAAACUAACUAGCUAUAAACAAUAGAAAUUAAACAAUGAACAACACACAUGCAUAUAUAUUUUAUCAAUGACACACAUGCAUGAAAGGUUCAAGUUGCUAACCGCGAUCGAGGAGGAAAAAAUAAAUGAGGAACCUCAAGUGUGGCUCCAACACUUCAUAUCAUGUUUGUUUCACGCUCUUGGGGCAUUUCAUCAAACACCUUGUGUGCAUAAGAGGAACCAAAAGCAAACCUACACCCCCUUGUGAAGCUUGUGAAGAGAAGUGGCACCAAAUGGCUAAGUGAGUGUGCUGAACUGGUAUCUAUAGGGGAGGAGAUUUAGUCGCGGUUGGCAUGGCAAACCGCGACUAAAGGCCUUUGGGCACCUUUAGUCGCGGUUGGCCUGGCCAACCGCGACUAAAGCCCCUCACGUGCACCAGCUGGCCACCGAGCGCCCUGGCCCAGGCCUUUGGUCGCGGUUCGUCUGCCGAACCGCGACUAAAGAAAUCAUUAGUCGCGGUUCCUACAGUGUCGCGACUUAUGGGGCUGGACGGAAGCCUCUUUUUCUACCAGUAAAAAGAGCAAUAAUGACAAUUCACGUGUUAAAAAUGUUGUUGUAGUGUGAGUAAUGAGGGUCAGGGCAGAGUAGUUUUACUUUUCUUUUUUUCUUAUUAAACUAAGGCCAUGUUUGAAAUCACAACAGAUUAUAAUAAUCUGGAUUAUGAAGAUAGAUUAUAUAAUCUAGUUUAUAAAAAUAAUCUAGGUGAACAUGUUUGAAGGUCAGAUUAUAUAAACUGUAAUUCAGGUUUUACAUUGCAUAAUGACAUGUCUGCCAUUUGUUUUUUGAAGAAAAAGGAGGGUAGCGGUGACAGGAAUGUAAUUAUCUCCAACUUUACAAGGGUAAUGGGUCAUUAGCAAUCCAUAAUCUGAUUUUAGCUGAGGUAGAGUAGAUUGUGAGUUUUUAAUAAUCUAUCCAUCCAGUUUUUAUAAUCUACAUCAUAAUCUGUCUUGUUUGGAGACAUAAUAGAUUAUAAAAAUCGGAUUAUAUAAUCUUAGUGGUUCCAAACAAGGCCUAAGCCAAGGGAUUCCGUAUCCAUAAAUAAAACGAGGCCACGAUCUCUCCCGUCGUCUCCGUUCACAGCGAUUCCCCGCGUCAGCCUCCUUCACGAACGCAGCCUCCAGCGCUGCUAGAAAUCCCCUACAAGUUUAAUGGCCAACGCUCAGGCCAUCCCCAGAUUUGCUGUGGCUGGAAGUGGACCGUCGCACUCCAGUGCGGUACUCGGUCGCGUGUCUUUAAGGAUGGUCGUAAUGACGAGUAUCAUAUACGCAUACAUAUCAUGCAUAUGAUAUUAUAUAUCCGUAAUGUAUAGUAUCAUAAGAUAUAUUUAUUUAUUAUCAUGCAUGGCACAUAGUAUUACGAUAAUUAAUACGAUGCGCAAUUUUCUUUUUCUUACAGUCAAGUCCUAAUCGGUUCUCUUGGAUUUUGGGUGGCGUUUGGUCUGGCAUUAGGUGAUCAAGUUAGCACAAAACCUAUGCAAAUCAUGGCAAACAUGCCAUGGAUGAAAUAAACUCAAGUGGAGCACAAAGUUGGCAUGACAAAAAUCAUCAUUAGUUGAUGUUGUGUCGUUACCAACUUAUCCAGAAUUGCCACGCCAACAAAAUUAUGUUUAGAAAAUGUCAUGGCAAAGAAAUACAAUGAAUAGAAUAAAUAUGACACAAACUAAAAUUUCCCAUCUAUGUAAAACAAAUUUCCCAUGGAAAUAGAAUUUUUUGCCAUGGCAAUGAAAAGAAAUUUUUGCCAUGCGACGAAGUAGAUUUUUGUACGCCUUUAUAGUACCGGGAUAUGCCAUCAUACAAAAGUAAAAGUUGCCAUGCUAACAUAAGUUCAAACCCAUGAGAAAUGAUGAAAGUAACAUUGCCAUGUAUGUAAAGUAAAGUUUGCCAUGGCAAUGAAAGUAAAUUUACCAUGGCAAAUAAAGAAGUAAAAAUGCCAUGGCAAUAAAAGUUAAAAAAUUGCCAUGGAGAUAUAGGUAAAUUUGCCGUGUGAAUAAAGGUAAAUUUGCCAUGUCAAAAUAAAACCUCAAUUGACUGAAUUAAUGGACUCCGCCACUAUACCCUUCCUUGUUGCUGCUGUCCUUUAUUGGCUUCAAUUAGCUUAAUUAGCAACAGCCAAGCCAGCACCCGUCUCCAGCUGCAGCGGAAACCAAUGAAUAAUGCUAGUAACUAAAUUUCCAUGAGUUCAUGUCCGAGAGAACUAUUUCUACAUCUUGACUUCUUGAGUGUUGAGUCGUCGUUGUAUAACUGAAUUAAUGGGUAACGGCAUGCAUAAUACAGUAGUACAUAAAUAAGUACUGGCUUGCUUAAAUAGUCCUGAUUGCAUUAACAUAUGCAUGAUAGUAAAUGUGGUUCUACUGCACAAGAUUGUAACACAGUAAGUUUCUGGGCAAAAUAGUGGGUUACUUUAACAUUUUGAAUCUUCAGGUAAUGUAUCAUCAAUUUACCGAGACAUGUGUGGUGGUCUUCGAUUUGUGGGCACUGGCGUUGUUGGUCUGGAGGUUUAACAUCACCAUCAGCCCCACAAGCAACAGCCACAACGGUGGUGUUGUGUCCAGAGGUUCCUUAUCCGUCCCCUGGUAGAGGCAUCAUCUCGUCUUCUUCACAAUUAAUUAGGAGCUCUAUUCCUCGCAAACCCACCAAAUCAACCUCAGGAACUAACCAAUGCACUUGGGAUCCAGACACCCACCAUGCCAAUCCUCAGCCUCUCUGCUAAGCCGCUGCCUCGCCUCCCUGCAAACCAAGGUAAUCAAUCAAGUCAGCACCUGGUAGACGUCGAUUAAUUAGCUAGGUUUCCAAAUAUACAGGGGAAAACUUGAUUCAGUGUACGUUCUCCUGCCAACAUUUCAGGCUUGUCGAGGUUAAGUAAGAGGCUGAACCUUGCGCCUACGUCAAGGAUAAGGAUCACGAUGCUCAAGCAACAAGAUCGUCAGGGGAAUGAAAAUGGCAGCAGGCCUCUGUACCUCGGAAUAGACUUUGGAACUUCAGGCGCCAGAUACGCUCUUAUUGACAAGCAAGGGGCCAUCCAUGCCGAAGGCAAAAGAACCUACCCAGCUGUAAGAGCCUAGUAACCUCUCUAACAUAUGUUCAAAUCUUGCAAAUCCAUUCCCGCAUAAACAAAGUUGCAAAUCCAUUAUAUUUUGAUUUAUCUGGGUACUUGGCUUCCUGCCUCAAACCAAACUUACCAUCCUAUCCAUUCAUGCAUGACCAUAGCUAAAUUUUAUCCAUUCAUUUUCCACUCCUUAUGAGCCUGUAUGUGCAUCCUUUUGGUUGGAGACUUGCUAGGCAGGUUGGACAAAGCACCAACUGGGCAGGCUCCUGGAGAGAAGCACUCUUCCACCUUCUCGGCGACAUCCCGUCCGUUCACCGGCCAUCGAUCUCCUCCAUCUCCAUUGAUGGGACUUCAGCAACCACUCUCAUCAUUGAUAGGUUUGCAGACUUUCCUCCUCGAAUCAUGAAUACAGGAGCUACGUAUAAUAAUUUUUUGGAUGAUGAAUUGGGUUGACCAAUCCAAUGUAGUGCCUGUUUUGCGCAAGCUGCAGAAACAAUGGAGAGCUUCUUGCUGGUCCUUUCCUCUACAACGAGAGCUUCCCCGACGCUCUGCCCAUGGUCAAAUCGAUCGCUCCUGCGAAUCACACGGUGUGUUCCGGUUCGUCCACCCUGUGCAAGCUCGUGUCAUGGUGGAACAAGCAUUAUUCGAAUGGCGGCGACGAUUCGGCGAUACUGAUGCACCAAUCAGACUGGCUGCUGUGGCUUUUGCAUGGGAAAUACGGUGUUUCCGAUUACAACAAUACUCUCAAGGUAGCUUGUCUGGAGUACGUUGUUGCAGAUAGUUCUCAUAGAAUCUUCGUACGAAGGCAAUGGGUUUACAAAUUCUCCUGCAAUGGAUUCUACUGCAGGUAGGGUAUGAUCCAGAGAUUGGGUCAUACCCAAGCUGGCUCAUGUCACAGCCAUACUCACACAUGUUGCCUUCUUCCAUCAGAGCACCUGGAGUUCCCAUUGGCCCAAUCAAAGAAGAUGUACGCUCACAAUACGGUAAAGGAACAUAUUUUCUGUAAUAUCACUCCUAUGAUAUGUAUUUAUCAAUAAUAUUAUUACUACUACUUCAACGUAAACGUCUGGCUUAUUAGCAGGCUUUUCCAAUGACUGCGUGAUCUGUACUGGGACGACCGACAGCAUCGCUGCCUUUCUUGCAGCACGAACCACUGAUCCAGGAAAAGCUGUGAGUUCCACUUCCACCGUACAAAUCUAAUAAGCACAACAACUUCUUGAAAGAAAUCGAUGGUUGUACCAACCUCUAGUACUAAUUGAACCAUGUAACUGAUCGAUCAGGUGACGUCGUUGGGUUCAACUCUUGCAAUCAAGCUCGUCAGCAGAGUCCGCGUGGAAGACGCAAGGUUCGGCGUCUACAGCCACCGGAUGGACGACCAGUGGCUCGUCGGCGGGGCGUCCAACAGCGGGGGUGUGGUGCUCCGGCAACUCUUCAGCGACGACCAGCUUGUGACGCUGAGCAGGGACAUCGACCCGUCAUCUCCUUCCCCUCAUGACUACUAUCCUCUGCCCAAGAGCGGCGAGAGGUUCCCUGUCUCCGACCCCGACAUGGAGCCAAGGCUGGAGCCUCGACCCGACAGCGAUGCCGAGUACUUGCAUGGCAUAUUGGAAUCCAUGGCGCGGAUCGAGGUCGUUAAUUAACUAACUCACACGUGUUUGAUAACCAGUAGCACUCUUUCGAGGAAGAUAAACCAGGAGUAGCAUCUACAAACUGAAGUGGGUGCUGAAAUGUUGCUGAAUAUAUAUGGAUGCAGGCCCGUGGGUAUAAACUGCUGAAGGAGCUCGGCGCUACGCCGGUGGAGGAGGUCUUUACGUCAGGGGGAGGUGCGCAGAAUGAGAAGUGGACGGCGAUCCGGGAGAGAGUGCUUGGGGUGCCUGUUCGGAAGGCAGAGCAGACAGAGGCGGCGUACGGAGCUGCAUUGCUAGCACUGAGGGGUGCUACCACGGGCAAGUGAGCACACUCAGGGGUGCCAUUUUCUUUUGAAUCCCAGCAGAACCAAGUGUUGAGUUCGAUAUACCCCCUUUUUUAUACGAGUAAAAAAGCCUACAAAAAUAGCUCGGCCAACCAUUGCAAUCCUUGUAAAUUCAAAGUGCAAUAAAUAGGAUGUUCUCUGGUCUUCCAAGCUUAUUUGUUGCUUUACUGACAUUAUUAUGAAAGUAAUGAACAGUGUGUUAUGAACUAUGUAGCCAAGAUAACAUUUUGUUUCUCACCCAAUGGUUUAUUAAUUUCUUGGACGGAUUUCAUCAUCACAGUAAUAAGGGCAUAACAAUGUAUCAAGCGCCUGCGCGGGAAGUAAGAAAGAAACUAUGCUGGGUGUUGAGCAGCAUAAUUCUAGCCAGAAACUAAACGAAUUGUGCUGGCCAACCAGAAAGUCGCCACAUGAUCAGAACAUGUUGGUCGCAAAUGAAGUUUCAUAAAUCAAGUCUAUGGUGCAGAACUAGAUCAAGAUACUGCAACUCCGCACCUGACCGACCAAUUAAUUGUUACCAGAUCACAAUAACCUUGUCAUAUUAAGUUAAACUUAGGAACGCCACUGAAAGGAACAUGCGUCAAUAUUUCUGCGCUGAUAAAUACAACUUGAAAAGCUAAUCUAAAAGCAGCAGAGGGGAAGUCCGGAGGCGUAACCUUGAUGACGACGACGAAGAAGAAGAAGAAGAAUCAUAUCCAUCUAUGAUCUAUUCUCUGCACAGCCCACCAAGUUCUGAACCAACCACACAGACCAAGGAUCAAACACUUGGUGUGCACUAACAAACAUGCUCAAUGGAGAAAUAACUAGAAAGAAAGCAUAGGGGGUAGAAAUUCGAACCAAGAAAGGAUUAAGACGAAAUCAAGAAGGGUUUACCCUGUGUUACCAAGAAGGGUUUGAAUGCGGGCGGCCAUUGGUCAAAUUUUCCGCCCCAAAUUCCUAAACAGGGCACACCUCCUCUGCCCUCGAUGGCGGAAUCGUUGGAUGAGGAGGGAGGACGGGCAGGGGGAUGCUGUUUCGACAUGGAUGGAUCUGUUAAUGGUUGAGACUGAAAAUUGAAAUAGAUGGUUGGCUAGCAGCGAGAGAACAUGGAUGAAGGUGCUGUGCAGGGAUAGUUCGGGGUCGAGCAAGGGUCAUUUUUCUUUGAGUGACUUAAAAAAUAAGUUACCUUUCAAUAAAUAAGUUGCCUCUCACCAACUUCAAAAAAAAAAAAAAGUUUCUCCCCUGGCGGCGACGUCUAGGGUUCUUUUCCCCUGAUGGCGACGUCUAGGGUUCGACGGGAAUCCCAACUAAGUGGAAUUCUCUGUACAACACUACCUCGGAUGGGUGGUCACGGGUCUUCAUAUAACAGCGGGGAGAGAGGCUUACCCUUGUGCUAGGGUUGGAAGUCGCCGCCUCAUGGAGACGUCAGGAUCUAAAUCUUCAGCGAACAACGCGACGAUGGCGGAAAACUCGGUGGGGGUGGAUGAUCUGAUUGGGAAGCUGAAUCCGCAGGAGAGAGAGGAAGAUGAUCUUAACUUUGAUGAAGAAUUCUCAUAUGAGGUUGGGGAGGCGGAGUUCAUGGCAAUUGCCAGGGUUCAUACCAAUAAACCCUUUUCAAGGGGAGCUUUUUAUGAGCAUAUGCGCAUGACUUGGAGUCUGGCUCAGGGCGUCUCUUUCAGUGCGCUGGGUGAGAACCUCUUUUCGAUCACCGUGAACUGUCUAGGCGAAUGGAAGCGAAUCACAUAAGAAGGGCCAUGGCUCUUUCGGGACCAUGGUGUCCUGAUAGAGAGCUAUGAUGCACUAGUAAAAAAAUGGGUCUUUCGGCCGAAGCCGAAAACCACAUUAGCCACGGUUCAAACUAAAACCGGGACCAAUGCCAGACAUUGGUCCCGGUUCAGUUUGCCAGGGCAUUGGUCCCGGUUCGGUUCAUCUUAUUAGUCCUGGUUCGGGGUAAAAACCGGGACUAAAGAUCCAGCGACUACCAGGUGGUGUGCCACGGAGCAUUAGUCCCGGUUUUUGGCCAGAACCGGGAUUAAAUGAUAGGCUAUUAGUCCCGGUUUUUGUCUAAAACCGGGACUAAAGUUCUGCCUAUAUAUACUCUUGUCCCUGCCACCCUCUCCUCUGUUUUUUCGCUGUUGAGGUGUGCAUGCCAUGCUUUUGUCACCCUUCUAGUUCAUGCACAUGAGAUGUUCGAUGAAUGCCCGAGCCACACUACUUAAGCUUUCUCCUCUCCAAGCUCGACCUCCAAGCUCCAUUUUCCUCAAUAUUUGUCUAGGUUUGGCCGUGCACCAACUACACAAGUGUCCCGUGUCCGUCCUCACCGUUGUCGAUCGCCCGCGCCGAUCUCGUCGCGAGCACCACCGUGGUGAGCCUCUUGUUCUUGUCUUAUUUUUAAAACAAAAAAUUUCUUACUUGUAUGAUUUAGAUAGAUACUUGUAUAAAUUACUUACUUUAAUUAUUUUUUUGUUAUUAUAUAGUGCGAUGGUUUUGGUAUCCGCCUCCGUCGGCCCUCGCCCUGUCUAUGAUUCGGAUGUGGUAUAUAUUAUCUUUUAUAACUAUUUGUUUUAUUUAGUGUUUAUGACAAUUAUGACGACCAACGUGACAUAAAUUUUUUAAUAUAGGAGGUAUGUCAACUGGAAAUUCCAACCCACAUAAAAAUUCUGGUCGAGAAGUUAAAUUUGGUUGAAAAAGAAAACAAUUACUUGAAAAAAUAAAAAAUAAUUGAGGAGAAGAAUAUGGAACUAGAGUUGCAUGUUGUCGAUGUCGUCGAUGAUCGCAAGAUGAAGAUGGAUGCGAUGCGGUUGAAGAUGGACGCAAUGCGCUUGAAAAUGGAUGAAAUGUGCUUGAAGAUUAGGAAUAUUAGAAAAUAUGCCAUUGAUAAAGAGGCUUGGUAUCAUUAUGUUGUUGGGUCAAUUGUUACCUUAGUUGUGAUUUUGAUCGCAUUUGUUGUUGCAUUUAAAUGUUUUACAUAGUUGUCUGUUGUUUUAUGAGAGAACUUUAUGUAUUUAUUUUUUCAAUAAUAACAUUUGAUCACUACUGUGCUUUGGUUUUAAUGUUAUGAUGAACUUGUAUUAAUUUGGUCAUUUCUCUAUUCAUGAUGUUUUGCAAUGUUUUUUUAUAUACUUAAUUUCAUAAUACAGAUAAACCGCCAAUUGAUGUACGGUGACUAAUGCCCGAGUCACACUUAAGUUCACACAAAAUGGUAUCCUCUAUCGAGGUUAGCAACCUUAUCCUUUUCAUCUGUAAUUGAUACAAAAAUAUUGCAUGUAUUAAUGUACGAUGGUCAUUUCACUAUUCAUGUAUGAUGCCAGAUCGAUGCACGGAAGCGAUGGAUGUACGGCGAACGACGUGGUUCCGGAUUUAUUGCAGGGCUGCAUAAAUUUAUCGAUGUGGCUGAGGCAAACAGAGUGGAUAAUUUUAUGCCUUGUCUAUGUGUUGGCUGUCGAAACGUGAAGGAGUACUCUAGCUCAAAAAACUUUCAUCUCCACUUGCUUCAGAGAGGUUUCAGGCCCACAUAUUAUUGUUGGACCAUGCACGGAGAAAGAGGGGUUAGGAUGGAAGACAAUGAAGAAGAAGAUGAUGAUGACGACUAUCCUAUGUUCACUGAAGAAUACGGUGAUACUACAAUAAAAGACAAUGAAGAAGAAGGAGUUGAAGAACAACCGGCAUCAGAUGAGCCCGUUGAUGGUCUUGGUCGGAUCAUUUAUGAUGCAAAGAGAGAAAGCAAUACAGAAAAGAAGAAGCUGAAAUUGGAGGCCAUGCUAAUGGAUCAUAAAAAGUUGUUGUACCCAAAUUGAGAACACUACAAGAAAUAUGCUAAUACAUGACGCUAUUUUUUCGUCGCUACAUCGUCACGGUUUUUAUUUUGCGACAAUCUUACGACAAAAAACCAAGCGUCAAAAACUGACAGCAGCGACGUUUUGUUCAAUAUCGUCGUAACUUUUACGACGAUUCCUGGAUCAUCGUCACCUUUACGACGAUCCUAAAUCGUCGCUGGCAAUCUAACCCAAUCCUACGUGGCAAAAUUACGACGAAAUCAAAACGUCAUGGCGAAAAUCAGCCCAACCCAUUUCAAUUGAUCACAUGGGCUGGUUUUAUAUUUCGGGCUUCUUAUUGGGCUUCUUUUGAGGCCUUAGCCUAUUUACAGCCACUUCUAGUAUUUUUUCGAUUUUUUUGUAUCUUUAUAAUUUGGGCCCUCGCCUUUUAGUUCCCAAAUACAUUUGGUCCAGUUUCAGUUUGGCCUUUUCUCAUUUUAAAUUCAGCAACAUUUUUUUCUUUUAUGCUGUUAAUGGAUCUAUAAAUAAUAGCCCAUACAACUUUCAAGCCCAUACACAUAUAUCUCAAGCAUCUCUAAAUGACAGCCUACACCACAAAGUUUGAAGCACAUUUCAAGAUCUGAUAAUAUAUAGCCAUAAUCUGUAGCACAACCAAAAUCUGCUACCUAACCUGUAGCACAAUCUGGUACAAAAUUACACAAUCAAGUGCACAAAAUCUUCUACCAAACCAAGUGCUAUCACAAAAUCUGCUACCAAACCAAGUGCUAUCACAAAAUUUGUUAUCAAGUGCACAAAAACUGCUACCAAAAUCUGUUUUGCUUGAUGGGUGAUGCUUGGUUAGAACUUCCGCAACAACUGAAAAGAAGACUUUCGCUCUUCGCCUUCUUGUACAGGAGCAGUCAUCUUUUCUUCCAUCUCAGUCUGAAAGAUAAUGGAUGCAUUAAGAAACAGUUUGGAUCCAUGAGAAAGAAAGUAAAAUAAACACACAAUAAUGAGGAAAGCACCACCAUCAGGUAAGAGAGCAAGUAAAUACUCUAUUCAUAUAAGUAAACUAUGCACUACAUGUGAUGCUAAAUAUGAUUUGCACAUUUUACUGGACACGCUAUUUCACCACUAAGAAAGAGUUCUGGGUAUCAAACUUUCAGAUCAUCAUAAAAAACUACGGCACAACAAGAGUAGCACCACUAAGAAAGAGUUCUGGGUAUCAAACUUUCAGAUCAUCAUAAAAAACUACGGCACAACAAGAGUAGCAGAUAGCUGAUUUGUGAUAUCAGGUUUAAAAAGCUCAAUUUUAAAACAUCAAAUGUAUUAGAAUAAUCAUAUGAAUCAUCAUUUGCUCAGCCCAUCUACCAAAACACACAACAACCAUCCAAAGGGGAAAACUGUCACACCUGACCAACGAGGCAUCCAGCCGAGUACAAAUGAAACAAAGUUCAAUUUUUUCAACCUGUUUUCAAUAAUUAGAAAAUACAAAUAGCACUUUUCCAGACAGUUAACAAUACGAACAGCAAAAAAAUAUACAAACAACAUCACUUUGUACGAUUGCUAGUGAUUACCAUUUUUUUAAUAAGUGAACAAGCAGUUUACCAGUGUACAAACAUCGGAGUUUGGAAGCUUUUUUACUAAUGAGAUAUUCAAGCUGUAGACUAUGUUCAAACAAGGACAAUUUUCCAGUCAAUUAACAAACAAAAGUAGUUUUUCAACCAAGACAACCAACAGUUUUCAGUGUACAAACAACAGUGAGUUAACAAACAACAACACCUUUCAUGUAUACCUCCAAUGCAUAAAAGUAAGCAGAGAUAAGCUAGAGUUUAUGCAAAACAAUGAACUAAAAAAUUAACAUGUCAGAUCACAUAUAAUGUUGUUUCAAGCGCUCUGGCAGCCCGACAGCCCCUCCCCGGUGGCCUCCUCUCCGCCGGCCAACCCCAGCCUCCACAUCGACUCUGCGAAAACACAAAAGGCCACUGUUACUCUAAAGUCGAAAAUAUAGUUAAGGAAAUAAAAUAGCAUAGUAUACUAGAAGAAAUCAAAAAAAUCAAUAGAAAACAUGGACUAGAACCCUAGGUGUGUUAUAAACAAAGAAAAUUAACAGUUUUUCUUCCUAGCCAGUGAAAGUGGCCCGCCCUCAUCUAUUAUAUACUUAAAUGAUAGAAAACGAACGAUGGUGAUUUGACACUUUAAAAGUAAGAUGUAUCAACGGUGAGGAUCAAAGGACACACAUUUAUUUUAUUACACAUCAAGGAAGGAGAGGGAUAUCUACUUUUUUAGGACACGCGACAUGGUAAAUCAUGGCUACACAUAUAUCUACGUUCGUUCAUUUAGGAAAGAAACUUGGAGUUGUAACGUAGCUACACACGAUUAAAAAAAGCAUAACUGCACACAUGCCCGUGUCUGACUAGGACUAGAGUCAAAAUAGCUAGAGUUAUAAACAAUACACAUAUUGUAAGAAACUAGCAAAAGGGCCCGUGCGUUGCAACCAGAGAAAAAAAACACCAUUUUUUAUGACGAUGACCACAUUAUGUUCAUAUCUCAUCGUAUGAUUUCGAAAAUUUGUUCACAAAUACAAGAAAAUAUUUCUUAUUUUAAUUUUAUUCACAAUUCACAAGUUGAAACAAUGUUCAUAUUUUAUAAAAAAUAUCAUGGUUGUCAAAAAACAUGGUAACUCAAAGAUUUAUUCUGAAUUUUAAGAAACAUUUUUUAAAAUAUACUAUAAUAUUCCGAUCCACCCCGACAAUUUAUUCUUCAAAAUUCACCCUGGUAUAUAAUCGGAAAGACUCAUAAGCAUUACUGUUAAACUACAUACAUUCGAUCAUUCGUGAACAUUUUUACAAAUUUAGGAACCUUUUAAAAAUCAAGAACAUGUUUUACUAUUUAUAAACAUUUUUUAAAAAUUCCAAACAAUAUUUGAUAUUACGAACUAUUUUCAAGUAUUUUCUUACGAGUUGGCGAAUAAUUCACUUUUUGAAUUAUCAAAAAAAAAUUUUAAUUGCAGUAAAGAAAUUGCUCAAAAUGAUGGACUUUUUUUGAUUCACGAAUGUUUUCUCAAAAAUUAUGAUUUUUUUAAUAUACAAACAUUUUUACAGAAAACCCGAACAAAUUUUGAAUUCGCAAACAUUUUAUGUUUCAUCAGAAUUUUAUGUAUAUAAAUUUUUUUGAAUUUCGAAUUUUUUAUUUAUUUAUUUUAAUUAGAAAAGUAAAAGGGAACAGAUAAAUAAUAAUUCAAAAAUAACCCCGCCAAUGGGCUGGCUCAAAGGGGCGUUCUGUUUCUUCUCCAGCUGGCAGAGCGUAGUAUAGCUCGUUCCUAUGCUUGGGCCGGCCCAUGCGACGAUUCCCUGUAAAAUGUUUUUUAUAACUUAUAGGUGGCAUUGGUGAGUAAUUUUAAACAAUUUUAAAGGUAAUUUUAAUGACGUACCACAGAAGCAAUAAGUGCUUUAUUAAUAGGUAAAGAUAUACGUCAUGCACGUUGCAUGUUGGAAACAAAUCGUGUCCAUGUACGCAUGCAUUCCUUUUUCAAUGGGUGCGUAUGCAUGCCUUGCAUGGCUGUGCAAAAUCGAUUAGCUAUGUAUAUAUAUUUGUUUUAUGUAGACUACAUAUUUUCUCUCUUGAUUAUAUAAUGAGUCCAGUUGUAAAUGAUAAUAGUUUAAAAUUAAAUAUAAAAGGCAUAUAUGUAUAGUAUAUUGAGUUGCGCCACAAUCGGACAAAACAGAAGUCCAUCUGAUUUAAUGCGCAAUGCUAUAUAACAAGUGUGCAGAUUUACUGAUGAACCUUAAUUAGUUGUACGCACAUAUGCCAUAGAAUUGGGAAGUCAGGUUCAUACAUGCAACUCAAGCAUAGGAUUCGCCAGACUUCUUAUAUUGUGAGAUAAAAAUAGUAUCUUGGAAACAAUGAUCAUCUGAUUUCAGAAUAUGAAAAAUAUUUAUUUAUAGUAUAUGAAAUAGAAAUUUAGUACUCCCCUGUGUCAAAAUAUAAGUUUUUUUUGGUCUAGAUGGAGACAAAAAAAAUGUCUUACGUUUCAAGGUAGAAGGAGUAGUUUAUGUGUAACACAUAAAAUAUCGAAACUAUAUCUUAGAAAAUAAAGAGAAAAACACCAACAUACGUAAAUAUGCACAAACACUGUCACAUAUUAAGAGUCUAAUAAAUAGUAUUUUCAUCUGUCUAAGUUAUUUUAAAUGUCUCGCCAUUAGUGGAAACACACUCUCUAAUGGAAUGAAUCAUCUACCUUAAUCAGAUAUAAAGGAAAAUCUAGAGUUUGAUCCACUAAUUAAGAUUAAAAACACCUCUACUAGCUGUACGACAUAUGUGUUUUCCUCACAUGUUAAAAUAUUGUUUUCGAGACAUUGGUUAUAUAUCAGUCUUGGCAAUUUUCAAUAAAAAUACAAAGUAUGAAGAUAGUCUGAUUGAAACGAGAAGACACGAAAAUGCAUAUAGGCGCAUCCAAUCGUAAAUAAGAAACAUAAUUGUAAUAUAUAUAUAACACAGUGACAAGACAAAAAUAUAAAUAAUUGUAAAGCUUAGGUAGUAUAAGUCAUUAGUAUAUGCAAAACAUAUAUUUAGAACAAAAACUUUUAGAACAUUUGUUGGUCAAAAUAUAACACAUAUAAGAAGAUAAAUGAAAAUGGAAAGGGCAAAAUAUUAGUAUGAAAUUAUAUGGUUUUACAUGGUGACUCUCGGAGUCCUCCGCGCAAUGUUGGCAUGUUGUGACACAGAAAUACUUUUACUAAAGACCAACUAUAAUUGAUUGGAUAUUUCAUUAAAAAAUCAACUUAUGAUUCUACUAGAGGUACAUUUAAGUAUAUUAAUUUAUAUUCAAAGUAAUAUUUUGUAAUAAUGUAAACACAACCGCAAGUUAAAUGAAAUAAUAUACGAACACACCUCAAAUUGAUAUCAUUGGAAAAAGUAAUACGAAUGCAUAGAAAAUAUGUAGCAAAUCUAGCCGCGCAAAUGCACGGGACACACCGACUAGUUCUGUAUGGAAACAGUAACCAUAACAUCAAAAAAAUGUUAAGAUAUCUGAAAUUGCAAAAUCAAAUAUUGGUUGAAAUAGCGAGAACUCUGAUGUGGGAACAAUGGUAUUCCUCUUCUAUUGGCUAAGUUCUUAUAGCAUUUCGGUUAUAAAUGAGAGAGGGCAGUGACCAAGUAGUUGUACAAAGUCCUAUUAUAUUUGACAAAGCUCAAGUAACAUUCUAGGAUGCUUUGCUUCAUUUACCAAUUGAUAUAAGUGGAGAAAAUAUAAGCAUACAAGAUAUCAAUAUUUAUGUUUUGUAGGCACAUUAGUAGUAGUACUACAUACCAAGACAUGAACAUAUCGAAGUGCAUUAGAUUGGAUAGGUACUUUGCCAAAGUAAUUUUGACAUGCCAAUUACCGUGUUCAUCUCUCUGGCACCAAACUGUUCGCCGUUGCGCACCACUAGUGGCGAUAAGUUGUUGCCGGUCCUUGCAUUGAACUUGGUGUCAGUCCUCAAUUCAGAGGGUGCACAAGUCUGCAAAAUGUACAAUUACAUAUUAGAAUUGUUGUCUAGAAUACCCGAAUGGCUUAAAAGGGACAUGAUUAGUUCCAAAGAAUGGGUGAAAGGGAAACUCACAUAGAACACGCAGGAAGGCGCCUCCUGCAAAAUUUACAUGUGGUAUAUGUUUAGAACUCUUGUCCAGAAUAACCAAACAGCUUAAUAAAAGCGACAUGGAUUAGUUCCAGAGAAUGGGUGAAAGGGCAACUCACAUCAAACACGUCGAAAGCCCCCCUUUGCAAAAUUUACAAGUAUAUAUGUUAGAAGAGAACAUGUUGUCUAGGAUAACAGUAUUAUUAUGGAUUAAAAGUGACAUGGAUUAGUUCAGGGAUCCCUCCUCAACCCUUUGGGCCUUGUUCUGUUAACCAUCUUCCAAGGCCAAGGGAAUUAAGUAGGGUUGUAGGGGGUUGAUUUUGAUUCCCCCUUAGCCCUCAACCUCAACCCCCUUGGACCACCUCCGAACAGAACAAGGCCUUGACAACAUCAACCGAGCAGAUUACCACAAGUAUACAGGUAAAAAAGAGUAGUCUAGCUUUCUCCAACAUCUAGUUUCGCAGAUCAAAGAUCACACUGAAGAACAAGGCCCAAAGAGAGAAUAUGUUCCAAAGUUUGUUGAAUCUAAUCCAACCCAAACCACGAAAAAGAAGAGAGAAUAUGAAGAAACAUACCAUCUCCAGCACUUCCUCUUCCAUUUGCAGCGCUUCCUUCAGCGGCCACUCCUGCAAGUCGCCUCCGGUCUCUGUUGCCGCCGCCGCCGCCACCAUGGUCAGGACUCAGGGUAGCGUUUUGCGCACGCGUGGUGUGGGUGUGUGCGUGCGCGGGUGCGGGUGUGUGCGGCAACUUCAUUCCCUGUUUAACUGACAAAAAGAAGUUUGUUAGCCACAACUUAGUUGUUGAAUAUUAGUACAUCAGCUCAGUUUUCCUGGCUCCGCGUGAAUGCAAACAUCUAGAGGCAACAAACAUUAUCUUCUACUCCAGCUCAUACAUACGAAUGCAAUCGCAAAAGGUUACGAAUCAAACUAUGUACAGUAGUAGAAGCAAACACACAGCAACCACGCACUGCACCGUACCAAGCAUCUAUCCAUAGAUCAGAAUCAGAUCCCCAAACAAAACCCCAUCCAUCAUGGCGUCCCUAGGAUAACCAACCACUACAAAUCUACUGUACUACUUAUAUAGUCGAGUUGCUGCUCGAGAGAAAAAAGAAGGCACAAAUGAACACUCCCGACCCCCUCCUUAAUCAUGAACAAGAACGAACAACCCGACGACGGAAUCGACGUCGGUGGCGAGAGGAUUCUGGGACCGGCAACGCGCUGGGGCCAGGAGCGCGUCAUCCCCGUCGGCAGUCGGCAAACUUGUGCAAACCCUAGACGAAUCUGGGCUCCUAGCGGCGCCCGCAUAAGGCGAUGGGUGCUGCGGAGAGGGGAUUUGGAAAGGUUUGGAGAACUUACAGGCAGGAGGAGGAGGAGGAGGACAGGUGGUGGUGGCGGCGUUCCGAGCGGACCGGCGAGGGCUCGGCCAAGGAACCGCGAAGGCCGAGCAAGGCGCAUCAGAUCUGGGUGAGAAGAUAGAUGAUGACCCACAAGUAUAAGGGAUCUAUCGUAGUCCUUUCGAUAAGUAAGAGUGUCGAACCCAACGAGGAGCAGAAGGAUCUGACAAGUGGUUUUCAGCAAGGUAAUAUCUGCAAGCACUGAAAUUAUCGGUAACAAGUAGUUGUGUGGUGAGAUGAUUCGUAGCAAGUAGCAAGUAACAAAAGUAACAACGAUGCAGUGAUAACCCACAAGUAUAGGGGAUCACAACAGUUUUCGGGGGUAGAGUAUUCAAACCAAAUUUAUUGAUUCGACUCAAGGGAAAGCGAAAGAAUAUUCUCAAGUAUUAGCAGUUGAGUUGUCAAUUCAACCACACCUGAAAGAUUUAGUAUCUGCAGCAAAGUAUCAGUAGCAAGGUAGUGUGAUAGCAAUAGUAGCAACAGUAACCAGUAGCAGCAAGGUGACAGCAGUAGUAGGAAAGUAACAGUAGUAGCAACAGAGUAACAGUAGCAGCAGUGACAGCAGUAGCGGCAAAGUAACGUAGCAAGGACCAGUAGGAAAAGACUCGUAGGCAUUGGAUCGGUGAUGGAUGAUUAUGUCGGAUGCUAUUCAUCAUGUAACAGUUAACACGGAGAGAUAAGUAACUAGCUCCAGUUCGUCAAUCUAAUGUAGGCAUGUAUUCCGUAUGUAGUCAUACAUGCUUAGGGAAAAGAACUUGCAUGACAUGUAUUGUCCAUCCCUCCCGUGGCAGCGGGGUCCUAAUGGAAACUACGGGAUAUUAAGGUUCUCCUUUUAAUAAAGAACCGGACCAACGCAUUAACACUUGGUGAAUACAUGAACUCCUCAUACUAUGGUCAUCUCCGGGAGUGGUUCCGGCUAUUGUCACUCUAGGGUUGUCGGGUCAUAACACAUAGUAGGUGACUAUAACUUGGAAGAUAGGAUCAAGAACACACAUAUAUUGGCGACAACAUAAUAGGUUCAGAUCUGAAAUCAUGGCACUCGGACCCUAGUGAGAAGCAUUAAGCAUGGCAAAGUAGUAGCAACAUCAAUCUCAGAACAUAGUGGAUACUAGGGAUCAAUCCCCGUCAAAACUAACUCGAUUACAUGAUAGAUCUCAUCCAACCCAUCACCGUCUAGCAAGCCUACGACGAGAUUACUCAUGAACGGUGAAGAGCAUCAUGGAAGGUUGGUGAUGACGAUGGCGACGAUCUCCCUUGUGUGGUGCCCAGAACGGACUCCAGAUGUGCCCUCGAGAUGAAGAACAGGAGGUGGCGGCGCCUCCGCAUCGUAAAACACGAUGAACUCUUCUCCUUGAUUUUUUUUCCGGGUGAGACGGACUAAAUAGAGCUGAGAUUGGAGGCGGUGGAGCAUUGUGGGCCCCACAAGCCUGCCAGGCGCGGCCAGGGGGCGCCUGGUGGGCUUGUGGGCUCCACGCUCCACUUCCUCUGCUAAUUCUUGCGCCAGUAUUUUUCAUAAAUUCCAGAAAAAUUCUCAGUAAAUUUUCAGGUCAUCCCGAGAACUUUUAUUUCAUCUCAAAAACAACACCAUGGCAAUUCUGCUGAAAACAACGGUAGUCCGGGUUAGUUCCAUUCAAAUCAUGCAAAUUAGAGUCCAAAACAAGGGCAAAAGAGUUCAGAAAAGUAGAUACGUGGAGACGUAUCAACUCCCCCAAGCUUAAAGCCUUGCUUGUCCUCAAGCAAUUCAGUUGACAAACUGAAAGAGACAAAAGAAAAACUUUGACGAACUCUGUUUGAUCUUGUUGUUGCAACUAUGUCUAACUCACACUAUUAGAAAAGGCCUAUUAGUGGCGCACCCACUUUAGCUAUUAAUGGCGCACUAUGGGUGCGCCAUUAUUAUCACGCCACUACUAAUAAAUAGUAAUGGUGCACCCCUGGUGCGCCACUGUUAAUAUACAUAACAGUGGCACACCACCUGGUGCGCCAUUACUAUCCAAGACAAUAAUGGCGCACCACCUGGUGCGCCAUUACUAUCUCAGAUACUAAUGACGCACCAUCUGUAGGUGCGCCACUACUAUGAAUAUUAGAUUUUUUUUUCUUUUCUGAUAUUUAUACAUGUUAAAAUAUACAUAAUAGCACAAAAUAUAAAUAGCACAAUAUAUAUAUAUAUAUAUAAACAUCAGAUUUAUCGAAUACAAUAGAAUAUUAGUCUCCGAAUACAAUUCAUCAUAUUAGUCUCCGAAUUCAAAACACGGAACAAAGUUAGAACAUUACAAGUCUCGCGAGUAGCGAGUUUGUCUUCACACAUUACAAGUCGAUAUCUAAACUACCAUCACAUAGAAGAGGGUUGCGGUCACGAUGAGCAUGAUCGCAAUGAAACUGAUCUUCAUCCGAUUCCUCCUCCGCUCCCUCCUCUCUCCCGCUAGAUAGCGCGCGUAUCUACCUUCCGCCUCCGCCCUAGUGGUGUACCCUUUGUAACUGUUACCGCUGAAACGGUGAACCUGUCUCCGACACUCCUCCCAGUCGUCGUAGACUCCGGGAACCUCACCCUUGUACACGACAUACGGCGGCAUCUCUAUGCACUAGACAAACAAAAGCAACACAUUAAUAGCACGAUUCAUGGUCCUACUAAUAAAUAGCAUCGACUACACAUAUAAGUUCAACGACUGUCCAAACUAAAGAGACAUACAAGUUCAUUAAAGUUUAAUUACAACAUAGCAUCAGUACUUUCGACUCGACUCAGGGACCGGAGCGUGGAUGAAGCCGCCGUCUUUCAUGAUGGUCAUGAAUGUGCGGUCGUUGUCAGCCUGCAUUUGUAGCGUUGUGUCAAUAUCACUCUUGGAUGGUGGACAGUUUAGGUAGAACUGCCUCGAUCUAGCAAGGACAUCUUGAUGGAUGAUUUCUGCCAACUCCGACUGGAUGCAAACGAAUUCUUGUCUGAUGUCCUCGUCCUAGAUUGCCGACAAGCGUGCGGCCCAAUCUUUGAGCUCAUUUUGUAGCAUACGGUGAUGCUGGUCCCGUACGAUCGCCCUCAUGUGAUGGAGGCCGUAGUAGGCAUCCUUCUGACUGCCAGGCGGCUUCUUGACGCAAGGGAACGUCAUUACGUGGUUGAACACGUGCUUGCCAUACCUAAGAAUUGGCCUCCUGAAGGUGCCUCCAGAUUUGGCGUAGCCGGGGAGGACAUCAUCAAGAAGUUCUUGAUAUUUGUGUAGUCUUUCUUCGACUGACGGACCGAGUCGAAAUACGUGGCCAUGGAAUAUUUUGGUCUUAAGAGGAUGAGUGUGCAAUGUGUGUCACUGCAAAAAACACGGAAUGUUAGAAAAAAAAGAACGAUCGAAAUCUAAGACAUCAUAUGUUACGGGGCGAUGAGGGGAUGACUUACUCAGAAAAGUAAGGCACGAGGAAGUUAUACUUAUCUGCGUUCGUUAGAAUGACGCCUUCGAGGUAUGAACUCGCGACUUGCUAGUCCCCAGCGCCGUCCAAGAGCUUGGCACGCAUGUAGAAGGGGUCGACUAUCACGAUGUCCGGGGUCUUGUCUCUAAUGAUCCGCAUCUCCAUACUGAGAGAAAAUGGCCGAAUUAAGGUGUAGUGCAGCGGAUAAAGGUUAAGCAUAGCGAAGAUGUCAUCAAACCGCAGGACGAUCAUACGCCCGAUGUUGCUAUCGACAAAUCCCUUGCCCUCUGGCACCUUGGCCACGAAAACCGGGUAUGCCCCAUCAUUCUUGGAGAGACGCCGCUUCUCCAUAUAAAGAACCGCGUCAUGCAGACUCCUCAUAGCACCAGUUACAGCAUUGAGCAUAUUAUUCGGUAGCAUCGGCCUAUCCGCCACAUGCACCCUCCUCUAAAUAUCCUUAGAUAUUGGUGGCCCGUCCUGAGCACGGAUCGUACUCGGUGCUGGCUGGCUCGCACCCUUGUUAGUUUUUCUUUUUCGUCCCUUCAGCUUCUUCUGCUGUAAUGGGAUCGAGUUCUGCUCAGAGACCACCUUCUUGAGUGUGUUGGGGCUGAUAAUAUUUCGCACCUUGGCUAUUUGAGUCUCGGUGAAGGCAGGAGCUGGAGGCGUCUCCUGAGAACUGAAGAGCCGACGCCUGUUGAAAUUGGGUUUCUCUGUGGUACCAGCUAGAUCGCCAUCGUCUUUUGCAUGGUUGGGUUCUUGAGAAGGAGGCCCGAACAAGGCGUCAUCGUCACCGUACCCAUGUUCGUUGAUGUACUUAUCGACGUUGGAAAUUGUAUCGUCGUUGUCGUCCGGAUCCUGUGCCAUAUGCAUGUCCGGAUCAGCUGACGGCGGUAGCAUUGCGGCGGUCUUGCCAUGGCUUGGCGCCGGCACAACUGGCGGUGUUGUUUGUGGGGUGGUGUCCCCCGCCCCCAAACGAAUCUGGCUCUUCGGCCAAAUCCUGGACCAGUUUAAGCAGGCGCUGAGGGUCAUCACAUCAUCUUCGUCGACCCAACGGGUCGAUACGGAGGUAAGAAGUCGUCCCAGCCCCGCAGCACCCGAACCAGUUGAACCGUAUACACGGUGGGUGGCGUCGGAUUACCGUGGAACACGCGGUUGCCCGGUACAAUGAUUUUGGCCUUGGCGACAUCGAUCAACUCGCCGUCCACGAAGUGCAGGAGAGUGCAUGGAACGUUGGCGGCGCCCUGUAAAAACAUGUAGGGCGUCAGGGAUGCCCAGUCAAAAAGGCAAGGAGAUGAAGUCACCGUCCGAGGUUUAUAGUUAUCGUGAUGGCGUCGAGCUCGGCUAAUGUGGAGGCACCGCCAACAACAGGCGUGCAAGUGACGGAGGGGCCGCUUGAUGCCGAGGUGCCAGCCGACGUAUUCUUCCCACACACGGGUGCAUUAACCUCCAAUACCGGCGCCGAUGCCAAAGGCAGCUGUAAUGCGGCCUCCGCCGGAGACACCGAUGCUGGCGCAUUGUGCGAGUUGCUGCACAUGAAGCUGGGUAUCGGGGGCGGCCCCUGUUGGCCGCUCGCAAUCCACCCCCACAGCCCCUCAAGCAAGGAAGGCAUAAUGGAGGUGAUCGUCGCUCCAAGUUGGUCUCGCACUUGCUCUUGGACUAUCUCUAGAAUCCGCGCCACAUGUGCCUUGAGUUCUUUAACCUCGCGCUCCUGGUUUUCCGAGCUGGUCUUCCUGUCGUCUGGCCCAGCCUUAUAGUGUUCCGACCAUUUCGUGGACAAGCCUUCGCCGGCCACACGACCAGCCGACGACGGCUUACUGAGCUUAUCCUUGUGUUUCAUUACGUCCAACGCCCUAUUUAAAGUGCUGUCCCAAGGGGCAGACGGGGAGCUCGGAGACCCCGCGCUACUGCUUUCAGUUUCCUGCGGAAGGAACGUGAACCAUUUAGAAAUUUGGCUUCAUUAAUUAGAAUGCAACCAUAUGGAGCUAAUUACACGGGGAUGUAUUCCUUACCAGAACACGCUCAAGCUCCUUCACCUUCGGAUCCAUGGUAAGCUCCUUUGUUACCGGGUCCGCCUUGUACCUGGCCGUAACAUAGUUCUUGGUCUGCUUUUCAGGGUAUUUAUCGAAGAGGGGCGGCAGGCCUUGCUCGGUACGCUCCGCAUCCUCCUUGUGCCAUUUAGGUUCCGCCACUCUGUAACCGCCGGGACCGAGUUUGUGGACCCCUAAGUUCAAGUCCCGCACAUCUUUCCCCCACUGACUUGAUUCCGCGGAUGCGUCGCUCUCGCACUUGAUCUUGAACUCCUGGUAGUCAGCUUCACUGAUUGAAGGAUUUGUCUCCUUGAUCUUCUCAUAACUAUCACCUCUUAGAAUCCUUCUCUUUACCGAGGCUCUCAAAGUAGCCAGGGUCGUGCUCAUCUUUGUGAGGGCGGCACUGUUCACUUUAUUCCCUGCGAGGCGUGUGUUUGCGACGUCGCCGGGGAACUUGUAUCGUUUAUGCAACUUCGUGAAGAGGAGGUUGUGCAAAUUCGCUCGGCCUUGAUGCCUUAGGUUCUCGGUGUUGAUCGAGAUGGUGCUCCGGAGAAUGCACCCGAGUUGUCCCGCGUACCCACCGACUAAUUCUUUGGGCGCCGUUGGAUGCCCAUUGGAGGACACUUCAAUAAAUUCCUCACUGACAGUGUCGAGCACGUUCGGGCAUCAGUCCUUCCAUUGCUUCUUCGGUUGGCUGCCAUCUGUGCGUUCGCUGCCAUCAUCAGUGGUGGCAUCCCUGGCGGCAACAUCAGUGGUGUCAUCCCCGACGCCACUAGGGGUUGUGUAGUCGUGAUCGAUGUCUUCCGCGGCGUCCUCAUAGCGGUGAGGUUCUUCCUCGAGCUCCUGGGACAGCUCCCAGAAUUGCUUGCCCGAACCGUCGGCCUCAUCGUUGUUGUCCAUGUUCGCUCUAACUAGGAAAAAAGGCUACUAGAGUUAUUGCACGGGGUUGAAUCGGGCACCUUCUAGGUCAAGAAAAUUGGGCAUGACCUUUGCUAAUUUUCUUGACCUAGGAGUGCCCAAUUCUCAACCAAAACGGAAAUUAAUCUAUGUUUCAGGAGAAAGGGGUAACAAAUAUGAGUCAUUACAACCUUACUGCACAAGCAGGAUGCCAAAAAAUAGUAAGAUGGAAGAUUUAAAUACUUCAGAAAUAAAUUUAACAUAACCACUACAAUCAAAAGGCAUAAAUCAGUGAUCGACAUAAAAAAAUCAUUGUCCAAGUAAUAAAAUUCAUUCUUCAAAUAUUCCUAGACCCCGUUUGUAGACCCCGUUUUCUUGGUCUACGACGAAACAUACAAGGUGCAAAAAGAUUUGUUGUAUUAUGUUCUAGUAGUUGCCUAAUUCUGUCUCAUAGCAAUGCGGUGAAUGAAAAGUUGGCCCAAAUAACCUGAUAUGCUUUGCAAUGUGACAACCCCUUUUGGUUGUCUCCUGAAAACUAGAUGUCGUGACUAUUUCAGAAAAAGAAGAAGCAAACCUUAUAGAGAAUAACUAAAUUAUAUUCUACCAGAACAUCAACAACAUGCCAUUUGACUGAAAUCAGUUAUAUUUGGUUGACUAAACUCAAAUUCAGUGUGUGCACCGCUCUUGUUUAAUUUAUCGUAAUCCCCGGCCAUAUGUGUGUGCUAAUAAAUUCAGUGGUUUUUGAUUGACUGAAACCCAAUUCAAAAUUCAAUAUAUUCUACAUAGUCAUUGGUACUUCCACGGCCGCGAGGAGGCGCGCCGGUAGACGGAGAUGGACGGCUAGGGUUGCAGGGGGUGACACGGCAGCGGAAGUAAGAGGUGGCAGGAGGGGAGGACGGUGGGGAGAUGGGGAAGAGGGAGGGGCGGGGGUGCUCACCUCCGCAGCGGUGAUGGCCGCCUGAGCCGUCCGCGGCAGCGACGUGUGCGGGGGUGGCCGGGGCCUGGGGGCAGUGACGAGGAGGGCUCCGGUGGCUGACGAGGAGGGCGGCGGUGGCUGAUGAGGAGGGCGGCGGUGGCUGACGAGGAGGGCGGCGACGGUGGCUGAUGAGGGGAGAUGGGAGGGAGGGAGGGUUGCGGUUGGAGUGGAGAUGCGGGGGAGCUAGAGGCAAGUGCGGGGAGGGAUAGAACGAGGGAGGGUUAGCAAUGGCGCACCAUUUAGGGGUGCGCCAUAAGUGGCAUAUCAGUGACGCACCUUUUAGUGGUGCGCCAUAAGUGGGGAGGGAUAGCAAUGGCGCACCUUCUCCUGGUGCGCCAUUACUAACUUUUAUUUUUAUUUUUUUGGAUUUUUAGUUGCAUGUAGUAAUUUUGGUUAUCACUUUUUAGUUGCAUGUAAUAACCGAAAAGUAAUGGAAUAGCCUAAUGGUUUAGAAUUACAUGACAUGGUGCAAAGAUUUAGAAUUACAUGACAUGGUUGAAAUCAACUCACGUGAAAUAACAGUCAUCAAAGAUUGAGCUUGCCACUGACACACACACGCGGCCGACACGUCGUGAUUCGAUUUUAAUUAGCUAUCUUUUCACAAUGAUCUUGUUGCCCUUCUUUCUCGCGGUUGAAUAAUUUAGCCCCGGAACCCCUUGAAUUCUUCUCUUGAACGGACGUCCUUUAGGUUGGGUGGUCCUGCUUCUUCUUGUGUUGUCUGAUACUUCAUCGUCGUCGUCAUCUUCCAUCUUCGGGUCGCCGUACUUUUCGAAGUCUUGAUCAUUGGUGACUCCAUCCAUUCCGAUGAUGUUCCUUUUGCCUCUCCUCACGACAACACGACUGGGAUUUGACGGGUCGGUAAUGAAGACGCAUUGGUCCACUUGGCAAGCCAGUACCCAUGGCUCAUUUUUCGCGGUGACGUUUGCGCCCGCGGUCUUCGAUUUGGCUUUGUGUAUAACCAUGGUGGUGAAAUACCGGUCUUCUUUUAGGACGCUCUUGGCCCAUCUGACACGGAACAUCGGAACCUUUUCUCCAACGUAGCUCAGCUCCCAGAUCUCUUCGAUCCUUCCGUAGUAUCUGUCCUUGUCGUUACCAGUGUAGGAUUCCAUCGUUACCCCGGAGUUCUGAUAAUCGCUCUUCAUGUCCUUUUCCUCGGUGUAGAAUGUGUACCCGUUGAUAUCGUACGCUUUAUAGGUCAUCAGGUUGUGCUCGGCGCCCUGUGACAAGGUGAAUAUGAGUUUUUCUUCCGUGGAAGAAUCCUCGUGUAAAGGGUACGACAGAAGCUUGUCCUUGAACCAACGCGUGAAAUAUGAGUUGUGCUCUUUGAUUAUAUCUCCGUCCGUCCUCUGUUGGCCUCGGUCAUUGUACGUCUUCUCAAUAAAGGUUUUGUGCUCUACCACCCAAGGAUCUACCACGUCUAUGUGUUGUAGCGUGACUAGGUUUACUCUUUCAAAGUCGGCGAGUCAACCCUUGAAGUCGACAUGCAUUUCGUGGCGACCCUCACGGUGACCCCAUCCAGCGAGCCUGCCGAGGUGCCUGUUGACGGGCAGACCAACGGAUUUCUCGAUUCCUAGAUAAUUCAUGCAGAAGGAGAUGCACUCUUCGGUUAGAAAGCCCUGGGCUAUGCUUCCAUCUCGACGUGCCCUGUUGCGAACAUAUCCUUUGAUAACACCAUUCAUCCUUUCAAACGACAUCAUGCUGUGCAGGAACGUCGGCCCGAAUUGGAUGAUAUCCUCCACGAUAUGGACCAGCAGAUGCACCAUAACAUCGAAUAAUGCGGGCGGGAAGUACAUCUCAAGCUCACAUAGUAUCACCAUGAUCUCUUCUUGUAGCCUUCUGAGUUGCCUCAUGCCAACCGACUUUAGAGAGAUGACGUCGAAAAAGUUGCAUAGGCCAAAUAGUGUUUCACGGACGUGCGCGUCCAUGAUCCCACGUAUUGCAACUCGAAGUAUCUGCGUCAUCAGCACAUGACAGUCGUGAGACUUCAUCCUGCUGACUUGUGCUUCGCUGAGUCUAGGUAUCUUCUUAUUUUCCCCGCGUAACCGUAAGGAAGUUUUACUCCUACGAGGCAGGUGAAAAACUGAUCGAUCUCCUUCUGACUUAGAGUGAGGCACGUGGGAGGGCAGUCAUAUUCGAUGGUCUUGGCCUUUUUGCCUUUGCGAUGACUUUCCGUGUCCUUCGCCUCAUCAUCAUUAGGGCGUUUUGCGUGAAGCUCCUCCCUGAUGCCCAUUGAUUGCAAGUCUGCCCUUGCUUUUCGCCCAUCUUUGGUCCUCUCUGGCAUGUUGAGCAGGGUACCAAGCAGACUCUCCCACACGUUCUUCGUGAUAUGCAUGACAUCAAGGCUGUGAGGCACACGGAUGAUCUUCCAAUACGGCAAGUCCGAGAAAACAGACCUCGUUUUCCAUACCUUCAGAAGCGGCUGAGGCGCCAUUCGCUUCUUUCCCGGCGGUGGGCACUCUUUCCAAUUUUUCAACAACUCAUCUAUUUCCUCGCCGCUCCUCGUACAUGGGGCUCUUCGGGGUUUGGUUUCACCAUCGAACAGAUCCUUGCGUUUUCUCCAUGCGUAAUCGCCACGAAGCCACCUUCGAUGUCCCAUGAAAACGGUUUUUGAAGACCCGGGAUCUCUAUCUAGCUGGCGAUACGUUGUGUCAUCCGUGCACCUGACACAUGCACAAAAUCCGUGGACCACCUGCCCCGCGACAUAUCCGUAACCGAGAUAGUCGUGCACCGUCGUGAGCAGUGCGGCUCUCAUAGGGAAAUAUUAUUUCGCUGCAGUGUCCCACGUAUUGGCUGGCGUUUUCCACAGCGUGUCUAGCUCCUCUUUCAGCAGCCCCAGAUACAGAUUGAUGUCGUUCCCUGGUUGUUUAGGCCCUUCAAUUAGCAUACUCAUGUGAAUGUACUUCCUCUUCAUGCACAUCCAGGGGGGAAGGUUGUACAUCCACACAAACACAGGCCAGGUGCUAUGUGUGCUUCUCUAGCUGCCAAACGGGCAGACUCCAUCGGUGCUCGCGCCCAACAUGAUGUUCCUUGGAUCGUCCCCAAAUUCUGGGUGUUCGAAGUUCAACGCUUGCCACUGGCUCGCAUCCUUAGGGUGACUCAACAUCUUGCCUUUUUUAUUUAUCUCUGGAUCAUUUCCUUCAUCUUCUCGCUUCUUCUCCUCCCUAUCCGCAUGCCAACGUAGGAGCUCUGCUUGCUUAGGGUCCGUGAAAUACCGCUGCAGACGAGGAGUGAUCUGAAAGUACCACACCACUUUUUGAGGAGCUUUCUUCCUCUUCUUUUAUCGAGUAACGCCGCACACCGGACAUAUGGUAGACUCCGCGUGCUCGUCCCGAUAAAUGAUGCAAUCGUUCAUGCACACAUGGUAUUUCACGUGCAGUGAAUCCAGAGGACACACGAUUUUCUUCGCCUCCUCGAAACUGUUCGGGCACUUGUUCCCCAUGGGAAGACGUUCGUGCCAGAAUGACAUGUUCUCGUCGAAGCAUCUGCCGGUUAUUUUGUGUUUUACCUUCAUCUCUAGAGCCAUGAGCGUUACUUUCAGGCGGGUAUCCUUGGGCCUGCAUCCUUCAUACAAUGGAGUAACUGCGUCUAUCUCCAGUUGAUCCAGCUUGGCUUUCUCUUGGGUGGCAGCUCUUGCGUUACCCGUCUGCUUGAGAAGCAGCUCUUGAAUAUGAGGGUCCUGCACCCAUCCCAUCGAUGGUCCAUCGUCGUCUGCUCCGGCAUCUUCAUCUUCAUGCUCAUGCCCUUUGUCUUGAUCUUCCUCAUCAUCAUGUCCGGCAUCUUCUACAUGAUGACUGUGUCCUGCAUCUACUUCGUGAUCAUGUCCUGGAGAUUCUUCAUCUUCUCGCCCGCUCUCGCCGCUAUUUUCUUGCAACCCUUCCUUUUUUCUUGCCCGACCCUCAUGGACGACUUCAUAAUCAUCUUCAUCACCUUGCCACCGAUAGCCAUCCAUGAAACCACGCACGAAUAGGUGGUCCCACACCUGUCUGGAAUCCGGGUCCAUAAGGCUCUUCAGCUUGCAUCUUCGACACAGACAUCUUAUCUCCAUCUCGUUCUUUUGAAGCAUCUCAGCCUUCGCGGAGCUCAAAACCUAUUCACGAUGCCUUCAGUCAUCAUGCGGACCAUGGUCGCCUGCGGGGUAGAGCCAAACGAUAUGUUAGAACCAAUUUUUUUUUGGCAUGACUUUGCCUAAAAAUAAGACAAAAAAUGCAUAGUGCCAAAUUCUCGCCGAAACGGAAAUGAAUCAACAUUCCGGCAAAAUAUUGGCAACUAUCGCAUUUCAAAUACUGGUACGUGCAAACACAAACAUAUGCAACACCACAAACAUACGUAGAUCUAGGUCAUAAAAAGUGUGUACACGUGUUGGAGGGACAAAAAAGUAGAUCUAGAACAUAAAGAAAGGUUUCCCCUUACUUACAUAUCAAAAAAAGGAAAUUUAACCACUUAAUUUGGAUGAAUAUAUGGUGCAAAUGAGGUGAGGAGGAGGAGGCAGCCGAGACUAGUGAGUGUGAAGUGGUGGAGAGAAUGAAGUGGGGGGAAAGGGAGUGUGAAGUGGGCUGUCAAAAAUAUCUCUCCUCCCAGGUUACCAAUGGCGCACCCAAGAAGAAUGCGCCAUUAGUAACCCACCAGGUAAGAAUGCGCCAUUAGUAGUUUAAAAAAAACUGAAAAAAAUAUAUUAGUAGUGGCGCACUGUGGACGUGGUGCGCCAUUACUAGUUAAAACUAGUAAUGGCGCACUUCCCAUGAUGCGCCACUGGUAAGUGUAGGAAAGGGUGGGGGGCCAGGUCAAAUAUAGUAAUGGCGCACCAGACACAUGGUGCACCAUUAGUAAUAUGGACACUAAUGGCGCACCAGUAGGUGGUGCACCACUGCUAUAUAGCAGUGGCGUACCACAUGCAUGGUGCACCAUUAAUGUCCAUAUUAGCUAUAGGCUUUUUUCUAGUAGUGUCAUAACCAGAAUUUCAGCAAGAUCACAAGCAAACCACAUAAGCAAAUGACAUCUAGGUCUCACGGUAAACUCAUAUCAAUGGCAUAAUCAAUUAGCGAGCAAAUAAUAAUAAGUCUCAAACGUCAACACUUCAAUCAAAACAACCAUGAAGCAGUACGAACAGAUGGUAUCUCGCUAGCUCUUUCUGAGACCGCAAAACAUAAAUGUAGAGCACCUUCAAAGACCAAGGGCUGACUAAACAUUGUAAUUCAUGGCAAAGAAGAUCCAGUCACAGUCAUACUCAACACAGUUAAAAGCAAAGCAUAAAAAUGAUAGAGGUGCUCUCUAAUUGGUGCUUUUGCAAGAGGAGGAUGACUCAACGGGAACAUAAAUAGACAAGCCCUUCGCAGAGGGAAGCAUUGAUUUGCAGAGGUGCCAGAGCUCAAGCUUUAAAAACAGAGAUAAUAAUUUUGGGUGGCAUGCUUUCAUUGUCAACGCAAUGACUAAGAGUUCCCACCAUCUUCCACGCUACACAUGCUAUAGGCGGUUCUCAAACAGAAAAGUAAAGUUUUGACUCCCCCACCACCGAUCAAUCACACUGCACGACUAGCCAAAUCCUCGGGUGCCGUCCAUACCAACAUCAAUCCAGGGGGAGUUUUGUUUGCAAUUAUCUUUUCGAUUUGAGCAUGGAACUGGGCAUUCCAAUUACCGGCCCCUUUCUCGUGAAUGAUAGUGAAUAAACACAUAUCAAGGAUAACACGCCUUGCAUGGAAGAUACUGAUAGCCCCCUGCCACCACAUGAGCGGUUCGGGCAUGCAAAACAGAUUAUUUCUUGAAGGUUUAGAGAGUGGCACAUGCAAAUUUACUUGGAACGGCAGGUAGAUACCGCAUAUAGGUAGGUAUGGUGGACUCAUAUGGAACAACUUUGGGUUUAUGGAAGUGGAUGCACAAGCAGUAUUCCCGCUUAGUACAAGUGAAGGCUGGCAAAAGACUGGGAAGCGACCAACUAGAGAGUGACAACAGUCAUCAAAAUGCAUUGGGAUUAACCAACAUUGCGUGCAAGCAUGAGUAGGACAUAAAUCGCCAUGAACAUGAAUAUCAUAGAGGCUAUGUUGAUUUUGUUUCAACUACAUUCAUGAAUGCGCCAAGUCAAGCCACUUGAAUCAUUCAAAGGAGGAUACCAUCCUAUCAUACUACAUCAUAGUCAUCUCAACAUUCAUGUGGGCAUCCAAGACAAACCAUUAUAAGCUCCUAACUAAUUAAGCAUGGCAUCAGAAACUAUGAUCUCUAAGUUGUCAUUGCAAACAUGUUUCUCUCACAACAAAGCUGAAUUUGGAACGAUGAGCUAGUCAUAUUUACAAAAACAAAAUAGAUUGAGUUCAUACCAGCUUUUCCAGGCUUAGUCACUUCAUCAUAUAUCGUCAUUAUUGCCUUUCACUUGCACGACCGAAUGAUGUGAACAAUAAUAAGAGUGCUCGUGCAUUGGACUACGCUAGAAUCUGCAUGCAAACACAAAGGAGAAGACAAAGUAAUAUGGCUCUUUGACAGAUAAACAGAUAUGCAUACGAGAGCCACUGAACAUUGUAACCAUGGUCUUCUACCUUGACCCAAAGAAAAAGAAAACUAUUUACAUGGGAAAACUCCCAACAAGAAAAAUAAGAAAAGAAAAUCUUUUUGGGUUUUCUCAAACUAGACAGACACACGAAAAGAAAACGAGAAAAAUAAAUAUACUAGCAUGGAUGAUACAGUGGCAAAGUGUGAACACCGACUAAUCAAAGUGAAAGCAUAAGCAAGAAUAUAAAGUCGGUGAGAAACACGUACUCCCCCAAGCUUAGGAUUUUGGCUAAGUUGGUCUACUCCCAAGGAUGGUCUGGGCGAUACCCAAAAUCAUAAUGGGGGUUAUACGGGAGCGCUGCAGCCACUGCCUGAAUAGCUGCCUCACGGAGACGAGCAGCCUUUGCCUCCCUCUCAUACUCCUCUGCCUCUCCUGUGGUUAUGUAAUAUCUCCGUUUUGCAAAUUCUAUUGAAAUCCUCUAAAUCCAUGGUAUACGAUUUGUCAUAGAGAUCAAACAGUACAGAUGUAUCACGACCAACUGAAAAUUUGAAUCUACGAACAAAAGAGGUAGUGAGAGCAACAUACUGUUCACAUUUAUUGGAGAUGAAUUCUUCGAGUCCGACAUUGUGAACAAGUGCAUCAAACUCGUCUUUGAAACCUGUCUCAAUCUUGAAUGCAUCAGAAGGACAUUCACAUGGUUGUACCUGUGCGUUCCUUGGUUGUUAAGGAUCGGGCUCCCGAAUCGCAAGACGGGGACCUCUCUUGCUUGAGGAACCACCAUGAUAGUUUCUCCUGAACAUCUUCCUUUUUUGAAAUUUUCAGUGACUCUAAGGAAAAGUGAACAAGGCUCAACGAAACUCGUAGGAACUACUCUGACAAGUGCCUAAAGGCCAUAUUACGCAUCAAAACUACUUGGGACCUGCUAAAAUUAGCAUGCAAAGCUCAAGAACAUGGUCACCAAGGCAUCAAACAUACAUGAAGUAUAAGGCACUAGAGCAAAAACUAAUUGGACCAAUGGAGGAGUCACUUACCAAGGAGUAAUUUCCCCAAAACAGUUCGGAGAAUGGUGCUUUGAGCAAGGAGACCGAAAAUCCCAUCAAGAGGAGCAAGAACACAGGUUUGAGCUGCGAAACGAUUUUUUCUGGAGGUCGGAGAAGCAGAUGAGAGCUAGAAUGAGUGGAGGGGGUGCACGUGGGCCCCACAAGCCUGGUAGGCGCGGCCGGGGGGUGCCCGUGCCUCCAGGGCUUGUGGCCCGCUGGUGCAGCCCCUAGACUAGCUCUUCGUCUCAGUAUUUUUCAAAAAAUGCAGAAAAAAUCAUACUUGAUUUUUAGGACGUUCGGAGAACAUUUAUUUUUGGGGUACUUUUCUACGGGACGCUAAAACAGAAAACAGGGAAAACUAAAAUAAAUCUAUCAUUUUUCUUUUAAGCAGUCGAAGGUGAAAGCUUGGAACACAGGUUUGUGACUCCUCGAUUCAUCCAUCUCAUGGUCAUCGAAAGAAAUCCGUCAAUGAGGUUGAUCAAGUCUCCUUGACAAACUUUUUCGAAUCACAAAAGAGAACAGAAAAUUUUCGAAUAGUCACUAGGUCUCCCCAACAAGCAAAUCAUACUUCAUCUUGACAGGAGGCAUAGGGCAUUGAAAGCUCCCAAUAAGAAUCGAUGAAGUCUUUUCGAUAGCAUUGAUGCAAUGUACUCGAUAUUGUUUCUUCGGAAAGUGCACCGUAUGCUCAUUACCGUUUACAUGGAAAGUGACAUUGCCUUUGUUGCAAUCUAUAACAACCCCUGCAGUGUUUAGAAAGGGUCUUCCGAGGAUGACAACCAUGGCAUCGUCCUUAGGAAUAUCCAGAAUAACAAAGUUUGUUAAGAUAGUGACAUUAGUAACCACAACAGGCACAUCCUCGCAAAUGCCGAUAGGGAAAGCAGUUGAUUUGUCGGCCAUUUGCAGAGAGAUUUCAGUGGGUGUCAACUUAUCCAGUUCAAGUCUACGAUAAAGAGAGAGAGAGGCAGAACACUAACACCGGCUCCAAGGUCGCAUAAAGUAGUUCUAACGUAGUUGCCUUUAAUGGAGCAAGGUAUAGUGGGCACACCGGGAUCACCUAGUUUCUUAGGAGUUCCACCCUUGAAGGUGUAAUUAGCAAGCAUGGUGGAAAUCUCAACCUCAGGUAUCCUCCUCUUAUUAGUCACAAUAUCCUUCAUGUACUUAGCAUACAGAGACAUCUUGAGCAUAUCUGUCAUACGCAUUUGUAGAAAGACAGGUCUAAUCAUUUCAACAAAUCGCUCAAAAUCCUCAUCAUCCUUUUUAUUGGAUGGUUUGGGAGGAAAGGGCAUGGGUUUCUGAACCCAUGGUUCCCUUUGUCUACCGUUCUUCCUAGCAGCAAAGUCAUACUUAUCGUAUCUUCUAUUCUUAGGCUGAGGGUUAUCAAUAUCAACAUGUUCAAUCUCCACAUCCUUAUCGUUGCUAGGUUGAGCAUCAUCAUGAACAUCACUAUUGAUAUUAUCAUUAGGCUCAUGUUCAUCACCAGAUUGUGUUUUAGCAUCAGAAACAGAGGCAUCGUUUGGACUCUCAGGUGUAUCAACAUCUGGGUUGCUAGCGUGUAGGUUCCUAUCAUCUUUCUUCUUCUUUCUAGGAUGACUAGGUGCAUCAGUGCUAACUCCUUGAGAAUCAUGUUCAAUUCUCUUAGUAUGACCCUCAGGAUACAAAGGUUCCUGGGUCAUUCUACCGCCUCAACUGACGACUCUAACGGAACUGUCCUUCAACUCAUUGAGCAAGUCAUUUUGAGCCUUAAGUACUUGUUCUACCUGAGUAGUAACCAUAGAGGCAUGUUUACUCAGAAGCUUAAGAUCAUUGACAUUUUUGUCCACACAAGCACUUAAAUGACUAAGCAUACGAGCAUUUUGUUCCAAUUGUUUGCAAACAUAAUCAUUGAAACUCCGUUGUUUGGCAACAAAGUUAUCAAAUUCAUCCAGGCAUAAGCUAGCAGGUUUAUCAAAAGGAAUAUCACUCUCAUCAAACCUACGAUGAGAAUUUACUUCUACUACCUGUGUCGGGUUAUCAAGACCAUGGAUCUCUUCGAUAGGUAGUAGAUUUUUGACAUCUUCAGAUUUAAUGCCUUUCUCUCGCAUAGAUUUCUUAGCUUCUUGCAUAUCUUCAGGACUGAGGAAUAGAAUACCUGUUUUCUUCGGAGUUGGCUUAGGAGGUGGUUUGGGAAUAGUCCAAGCAUUUUCAUUGCACAGGAUGUUAUUCAAUCAGAUCUCAGCUUGUUCUACGGUUCGUUCCCUAAAAACACAACCAACACAACUAUCUAGGUGGUCUCUAGAAGCAUCGGUAAGUCCAUUAUAGAAGAUAUCAAGUAUUUCAUUCUUCUCAAGAGGGUGACCAGGCAAAGCAUUCAGUAGCUGGACAAGCCUCCCCCAAGCUUGUGGGAGACUCUCUUCUCCAGCUUGAACAAGGUUGUAUAUUUCCUACAAGGCAGCUUGCUUCUUAUUGGCAGGGAAAUAUUUUUUAGAGAAGUAGUAGACCAUAUCCUGGGGGCUACACACACAACUAGGAGCAAGAGAAGUGAACCAAGUCUUAGCAUCAUCCUUUAGCGAGAAAGGAAACAACUUGAGGAUAUGGUAGUGGCAGAUCUUUUCCGCACUCGUGAAUAGGGUGGCUAUAUCGUGCAGUUUGGUAAGAUGGGCUACAACCAUUUCAGACUCAGAACCAUGAAAAGGAUCGGAUUCAACCAAAGUGAUUAGCUCAGGUCCGACAGAGAAUUCAUAAUCCUUAUCGGUGACAAAGAUAGGCGAAGUAGCAAACUUUGGGUCGUAUUUCAUCCUAGCAUUCAGAGAUUUUUCUUUCCACUUGAGAAAUAAUUUCUCAACAUCAUAGCUAUCCUUACACGCAAUAAAAUCCUCAGCUAUCUCUCCCUCCAUAACAUAACGCUCAGGCAUAUCAGGCAAUUCAUGUCUAGGAGAGCUAGUUUGAGCAGGCAAAAUAGCAGGUUCUACUUCAAUAGUAUCAGCAGUUUUAGAAGUAUCAUCACAUCUAGCAGCAACUCUAGCAAUUUGUUCAUCAAGGAAUGCACCUAGUGGCAAAGCAGUAUCAAGCAUAGCAUCAUGACGCAAAGCAGUGUCAAGCAUAUCAUCAUGAGGCAAAGCAUUAUCAAGCAUAGCAUCAUCAUAAGCAUCAUGGGCAGCAGAAGUAGCAUCAUCAAUCACAGGCGACAUAUCAAGAUUUCUAGCAGGAGGUGGUGUCGCAAACUUACUCAUAACUGAAGGUGAAUCAAGUGCAGAGCUAGAUGGCAGUUCCUUACCUGUCCUCGUAGUUGAGGGCAAGACUUUAGUUCUUGGAUCUAUCGGAUUCCUCAUAGUGACCAGCAGACAUAAAUCCCAAGUGACUCAGAGAAUAUAGCUGUGCUUCCCCGGCAACGGCGCAAGAAAAAGGUCUUGAUAACCCAUAAGUAUAGGGAUCGCAACACUUCUCGAGGGUAGAAUAUUCAACCCAAAUUUAUUGAUUCGACUCAAGGAGAAGCGAAAGAAUAUUCUCCUCUCAAGUAUUAGCAGUUGAGUUGUCAAUUCAACCACACCUGAAAGAUUUAGUAUCUGCAGCAAAGUAUCAGUAGCAAGGUAGUGUGAUAGCAACAGUAACCAGUAGUAGCAAAGUGACAACAGUAGCAACAAAGUAUCAGCAGUAACAAUAGAGUAACAGUAGCAACAGUGACAGUAGUAGCGGCAAAGUAACGUAGCAAGGACCAGUAGGAAAAGACUCGUAGGCAUUGGAUCGACGAUGGAUGAUUAUGCCGGAUGCUAUUCAUCAUGUAACAGUUAUAACACGGAGAGAUAAGUAACUAGCUCCAGUUCGUCAAUCUAAUGUAGGCAUGUAUUCCGUAUGUAGUCAUACGUGCUUAGGGAAAAGAACUUGCAUGAAAUCUAUUGUCCAUCCCUCCCGUGGCAGCGGGGUCCUAAUGGAAACUAUGGGAUAUUAAGGUUCUCCUUUUAAUAAAGAACCGGAGCAACGCAUUAACACUUGGUGUAUACAUGAACUCCUCAUACUAUGGUCAUCUCCGGAAGUGGUUCCAGCUAUUGUCACUCCGGGGUUGCCGGGUCAUAACACAUAGUAGGUGACUACAACUUGCAAGAUAGGAUCAAGAACACACAUAUAUUGGCGACAACAUAAUAGGUUCAGAUCUGAAAUCAUGGCACUCGGGCCCUAGUGAGAAGCAUUAAGCAUGGCAAAGUAGUAGCAACAUCAAUCUCAGAACAUAGUGGAUACUAGGGAUCAAUACCCAUCAAAACUAACUCGAUUACAAGGUAGUUAUCAUCCAACCCAUCACCGUUCAGCAAGCCUAUGAUGAGAUUACUCACGAACGGUGAAGAGCAUCAUGGAAUUGGCGAUGAAGGAAGGUUGGUGAUGACGAUGGCGACGAUCUCCCCUCUCCGGAGCCCAGAACGGACUCCAAAUCUGCCCUCCAGAUGAAGAACAGGAGGUGGCGGUGCCUCCGUAUCGUGAAACGCGAUGAACUCUUAUCCUUGAUUUUUUCCGGGCGAGACGAACUAAAUAGAGCUGAGAUUGGUGGCGGUGGAGCGUUGUGGGCCCCACAAGCCUGCCAGGCGCGGCCAGGGGGCCCGCGCCUGGUGGGCUUGUGGGCUCCAUGCUCCACCUCCUCCGCUGAUUCUUGCGCCAAUAUUUUUCAUAAAUUCCAGAAAUAUUCUCCCUAAGUUUUCAGGUCAUUCCAAGAACUUUUAUUUCUGCGCAAAAACAACACCAUGGCAAUUCUGUUGAAAAUAGUGUUAGUCCGGGUUAGUUCCAUUCAAAUCAUGCAAAUUAGAGUACAAAACAAGGGCAAAAGAGUUCGGAAAAGUAGAUACGACGGAGACGUGUCAUGCAGCAAAGUGGCCCAAUCCCUUUUGUAGCAAGGGACAAGCCUGGACGAAGUCUUAUAGGAGGAAAAACGCUCCCGAGGACACACGGGAAUUUCUGUCAUCCUAGUUUUCAUCAUGUUCAUAUGAUUCACGUUCGUUACUUUGAUAGUUUGAUAUGUGGGUGGACCGGUGCUUGGGUACUGCCCUUACUUGGACAAGCAUCCCACUUAUGAUUAACCCCUCUCGCAAGCAUCCGCAACUACGAAAGAAGAAUUAAGACAAAGUCUAACCAUAGCAUUAAACUAGUGGAUCCAAAUCAACCCCUUACGAAGCAACACAUAAACUAGGGUUUAAGCUUCUGUCACUCUAGCAACCCAUCAUCUACUUACUACUUUCCAAUGCCUUCCUCUAGGCCCAAAUAAUGGUGAAGUGUUAUGUAGUCGACGUUCACAUAACACCACUACAGGAAAAACAACUUACAACACAUCAAAAUAUCGAACGAAUACCAAAUUCACAUGACUACUAUUAGCAUGACUUAUCCCAUGUUCUCAGGAACAAAAGUAACUACUCACAAAGCAUAAUCAUAUUCAUGACCAUAGAGGUAAUGAGUAGCAUCAAAUAUGUGAACAUAAACUGUUCCACCAAGUAAUCCAACUAGCAUCAACUACAAUUAGUAAUUAACACUACUAGCGACCUUACAAGUACCAGUCGGGGUCGUGAGACGGAGAUUGGUUACAAGUGAUGAACUAGGGUUUGGAGAUGAGAUGGUGCUGAUGAAGAUGUUGAUGGUGACGAGCCCCGUCCGAUGAGAGGAGUGUUCGUGAUGACGAUGGCAACAAUUUCCCCCUCCAGGAGGGAAGUUUCCCUGGCAGGAUCGUCCUGCCGGAGCUCUAGAUUGGUUCUGCUCAAGUUCUGCCUCGUGGGAGCGGCGAAUCCUACGAAAAUCCUCCUCCUGAAUUUUUUUGGAACGAAACUCUUCAUAUAGCAAAAGAUGAGCGCCGGAGGGGCAAUACGGGGCCCACAAGCCCCCCAGGCCCGACCAGGGGGGUAGGCCGGGCCUGGCAGGCUUGUGGCCUCUUGGUGGUGCCCCUCUGGUACUUCUUCCGCCCAGUAUUUUUCAUAAAAUCCAAAAUAAUUCCCCGUUGAUUUUCACGGCUUUUGGAGUUGCGCAUAAUAGGUAUCUCAAACUUGCUCCCUUUUCAGACCAGAAUUCCAGCUGCCGGCAUUCUCCCUCUUCAUGUAAACCUGAUAAAAUAAGAGAGAAAAGGCAUAAGUAUUGUACCAUGAAGUGAAAUAACAACCCAAAAAGCGAUAAAUAUCGACAUGAAAGCAUGAUGCAAAAUGGACGUAUCAACUCCCACAAGCUUAGACCUCGCUUGUCCUCAAGCGAAAGCCUAGAUCAAUAAACAUGACCACAUGUUUAGGGAGAGAGGUGUCGACAAAACAAGAUACGAACAUGCAGGCAUCAUGAUCAUGAUCAGAAUGGCAAUACCAACAUAUAAUCUCUCAUGCCAAAGUGACAAAUCCUUCACAAAGUAAAGCAUGGAUCAAGAACCUUACCGAGAAUUAACAACCGAUAGCCUUUUGUUAUUGAAGCAAUUGCAAUUUAUCACAACAUCAGAAAGAGUUAAAUAAGAGCUUGUAAAGCAAAUCCACAUACUCAAUCAUCUGUUCGUUCUCUACAGUUGCUACAACUCACAUGGUACUCAUGAGAUCAAAGUUUCAGCUGGACACAGAGAAAGAUAGGGGCUUAUAGUUUCACCUCCCAACCAUUUACCUCAAGGGUAAUGUCAACGAUAAUAAUUCAUGAAUACUUACUUCCAAGUUGACAUAUGAAUAUAGAUCUUUCCCUAGCAUAUGACGUUAGCCAAGAUAAAGGGCAAAUAAGGAAUUGGUGAAGAUCACCAUGACUCUUUCAAGGGCAAAAAGUAAAGGUACAAGAUAGGCCCUUCGCAGAGGGAAGCAGAGGUUGUCAUGCACUUUUGAGGUUUGGAUGCGUGUCCUCUUAGUUCGGAGGAACGCCACUUUAUAUUGCCUCCUGUGAUAGAGAACUUUAUUAUGCAGUUUGUCGCUUUUAUGUCUUCCUCAUCACAGGUUCGUACAAAGCUUAUUUUCCACACACUAAUAGAUCAUACAUAUUUAGGGAGAAUUUUUUUUAUUGCUUGCACCGAUGACAACUUACUUGAGGGAUCUUAUUCAAUCCAUAGGUAGGUAUGGUGGACUCUCAUGGCAAAACUGGGUUGAAGGUUUAUGGAUGCACAAGUAGUAUCUCUACUUGGUGCGGGAGUUUUGGCUAACAUGAGGUGGAAGCAAUCGUCACAUGCUAAGGGAUCUCUAAUCACAUAACAUUAUUCGGAACCAACCAAACACAAUUC
RNAcentral lists this long non-coding RNA (45430 nucleotides) under Hordeum vulgare. Its description in RNAcentral is "long non-coding RNA (HVUL_LNC000299)". Lineage: Eukaryota; Viridiplantae; Streptophyta; Magnoliopsida; Poales; Poaceae. The record is from RNAcentral.